GUCCAAUCUCCCUUGAACCAAUGCAAGAUCCUGUUACUCUUUGCACCGGCCAAACCUACGAGAGGUCCAACAUUCUCAAAUGGUUCAGUUUGGGGCGCUAUACUUGCCCCACCACAAUGCAGGAGCUCUGGGAUGAUUCUGUUACUCCUAAUAAGACCCUUUACCAUUUGAUUCACACUUGGUUUUCUCAAAAGUAUUUGCUUAUGAAGAAGAGAUCAGAGGAUGUACAGGGGCGGGCGAGCGAACUUCUCGGGACAUUGAAGAAAGUUAAGGGUCAAGCAAGGGUUCAAGCCUUGAAGGAGCUCCAUCAAAUUGCUGCAGCUCAUGCCUCUGCGAGAAAGACAAUGGUCGAUGAAGGUGGUGUUGCUCUAAUUUCAUCUUUGCUAGGUCCAUUUACUUCGCAUGCCGUAGGUUCCGAGGCAGUUGGGGUUCUUGUGAAUUUGACACUUGAUUCCGAAUCCAAAACCAAUUUGAUGCAGCCAGCAAAGGUUUCAUUAUUGGUAGACAUGUUAAAUGAAGGUUCUGUUGAGACAAAGAUCAAUUGUACGCGGUUGAUUGAGAAAUUGAUGGAGGAGAAGGAUUUUCGUCCAGAGAUUGUGUCGAGUCAUAGGCUGCUGAUAGGAUUGAUGAGGCUGGUGAAAAAUAAGAGGCAUCCCAAUGGAAUUUUGCCUGGAUUAAGCCUACUUAGAUCAAUAUGUUUGCUUAACGAAGUUAGGAGCUUGGUUGUGAGCAUUGGGGCUGUUCCCCAGUUGGUUGAAUUGUUGCCUUCUCUGGAUCCUGAUUGUUUGCAGUUAGCACUCUGUAUCUUGGAUGCAUUGUCUUCCCUUCCUGAGGGAAAAUUAGCUUUGAAGGAUUGUGCGAACACAAUACCAAAUACAGUGAGGUUAUUGAUGCGGGUUUCAGAGGAUUGUACUCAAUAUGCAUUGUCCAUAUUAUGGUCAAUAUGCAAAAUUGCUCCUGAGGAAUGCUCAUCAGCAGCUGUGGAUGCUGGUCUUGCGGCAAAGCUUUUCCUUGUGAUCCAAAGUGGUUGCAAUCCUGUCUUGAAGCAAAGGUCUGCAGAGCUAUUAAAGUUGUGUAGUCUAAACUAUACAGAUACCACGUUCAUUUCCAAGUGCAAGCUUACAAGGACAAUCCAAUGAGAGUGAAAGUUUAUUUAAUGUCUUUUGCACAAUCCCUCUGACGCCGAAGGCCUAAUGGAAGCAUCGGUAAUGGUGGUUUCAUGAAUUUGAUCUCCUGUACAUAAGUUCUUGAAUUGCAGUUUGAUUCAACAAGCAUGAAGAUGAAAUACAUUAUGGACAUAACAUAACAUCAACACUUUUGUAUGUUGUGGUAAAUUGACAUCCACUGAUCGUUAGUUCCAUUGCCAAGGCUUUAUUAAAACAAACCCCAUGAAGAAGUGAUGAUGUAAAAUGUUGCUAGUUUGUAUUGGGGUAUAGUUGUUGGAUAAGAAUAUUUUGUAUGGGUAGGGAAAUUUGUGCAAGUAUUUGGAGGUUGCAUCUGCAAUUGCUUAGCUCCGUCUGGGGGGUCCCUGUUUCUCCCAAGCUUUUUCCUUAGUCUCUCCGGGGGGGCCUCCGAUUUUCCUUUUGAUUUAGUGGGAGUUUUGCUUUUGACCCCACAAGUGUAGAGACUUUGGAGUGCCUUUGGCCUACAAUUGUCAAUUCAAUGUGUACAAUGAAAUUAGCUCUUUCAAUUUUUCGUUUGAUCUUAUCCUGCACUGUUGUUCUUUUAUCCUCCGAUAUUAUACAUUUUAAUUAAUUUUAUUUCAUCUGUUACAAUAAUUAUGAGAUGAGGUCCGUAAAAAUCUUUCAUCACUGAUUGCUAGAUUGCUUGUGAUUCAUGAAAGAAGUGUAGAGAGAGAGAGAGAGAGAGAGAGAGAGAUUUUCAGGUCUUCAGCUUUGGUACAGUUUCAGAAGAAUUACUUUAUCAGGGAUGAGUGGUGACAGCUAGAGGCAUUGUGUGCACCUUCUUUUAUGCUUUUGUGGGAGAAAGUUGAGGACAAGACCUAUUGUUGCUUCUCCCUCAAAUCACUGUUGGUUUUGAAAAGAAAGUUGAAUGGUUCCAGUCCUGAAUAGUCUGUCAUUGAAUUACUAUUUACUAACAGUAGACAGUAGUAGCUCCAAAUUAUGAGGCCCUGGCCCUUAGGCCUUGGCUGUGGCAAAAGGGCAUUGAUACUCCUGCAGGAACACAAUGUAACCAUGGGAAAAACAUUACUUGUUAAACAAAAUAGGCUUUACAUAAAACCAAAUUUUGCAGACUGUCUGUUGGAUUUACCAAAUUGAAUUGUUUCUGUCCACUGUCCUAUAUAUUGAUUUAUAGGGAAGCUAUUUCCCCCUUUUUUUGAGCUUUUCUUUUCAUCAUCAUUUUUUUUUUUAAAUACUAAUAAAUUGAAUGGAGAAAAAGCAAAGAAAAGAUCCCAACUUUUGAAACCUUGUGUGUCCGUAAAGCCUAAGGGGCCCCUAGUUAAAGAUUGUCCCUGGCCAUGGCAUCUUUGAAUAAUGGGUUGAAACCCAAAAGCUUGGGGAAAAUAUGUUCACUCUUAAGUCUUAAGAAAGAAGCCUCCUACAGUAAUACAAAGAAACUUUGACCCUUCUGUUAUCUUGAUUCUUGUAUCACAUUCUACAAGAAAAAGAUGGAUUUAUCUUACAAGUAAUCAAAAUUCAUAUUCAGCUAUUAAUGUUAAUUUCUAUUGCAUCUUAAACCAAUUUGUUCAAAAUUUAUUUAAAGUUAAGAAUAGAUAACUUAGUAGUACAAUAAAGUGUAUGGGAGAGGAAACAAACGACUUGGCUAUAAUUACGCACUUUUUACUUUAAUGUGGGACCAAUUUAACCAUGAAAUCUUGUCGAUCCAUGUAGAGUUAACCAUUUAAUUUUUUAAUACUUCAUAAAUAUAUUCACCUUCACCAGACGUGGAGUUACCCAUAGACCAAUAGGUGCUACAACCAAAAAAAUAAUAAUAAUGCAUAUGUGUAUAAUAAAAUAUAUAAUCAGCUUUCGGGAUAUUAGUUCAACAAUGUUGUCAAAUGUAUUUUUUUCAUGCAAUGAUAACAUUAUAAAAUUUACAACGUUGUCAAAGGAUCUCGGAUUUUAUAAAGUCUACAGUUGAGUACUUUAUAUAUAGGGUCUUUUUAUCUUACAUGCAUGUAAGAUAUAUUCCUCUCACAUGAAUAGUGUGUGGGUCCCACACAUGCACUAUUCAUGUGAGGGGAAUGUAUCUUACAUGCAUGUAAGAUAGGGUUUGCCUUAUAUAUAUAUAUAUGGGUGCCUCUAAGUUACGUUAAGCGUAACUUACGUUUUUUGUCUUUUUUCUUCUGGCGAAUUUCACACGAGUCCUUGUAUUCUUUAUGUUUAUGGAUGUAUUUGCCUUCUUUUAUCAAUUAUACAUCUAUUUUUCAUUCUUUCCAAUGUUCUUUUUAUUUUUUUAAAUAAUAACAUACGAUUAUCAAAUGGCCAAACCUAGGUUACGUGUAACGCAACAUACAUUCAAGAAGUGAAAUAUCUAUUGGCACCCUUGAAUUUUAUGGAAACUACAUUAAUUGAAUUAAAAUGGUAAAUUAAAAUAUCAAAUGGUAUCUAUUAAUCAGAAUUAAUCAGAGUAUAUGUUGAUAAUGCCCUUUAAUCAGAAUUAAUUCUUAGGAAUGAUUUUAACGGUAAUUCUGAAAGCUAUUGCAUGUUAAUUUUGAAGUCUGUCAUGUAUAUUUUUUAUAUUUUUAUAUAAUUUCUCUUUAAUUUAAUUAUAUAAUUAAAUUACAUGCAAUAAACCUACAAUUCAAGACUAGGAUUAAUAAAUUUAGGACCAGAAGUUUAUUCUGAAUUUAUAGAUUUGUAUGAAUUUGAUAAUCAUUUAAUAAUGUUUUCACCGAGAGAAUUCAUUGCACAUAUGAAUUUUCUCUCUUUCUACCUGUCCUCAAAGGGAUGCAUAUGAUGCCUCAAUAACACCCGUGAAAAUAUAGAAGGCUACAUAUUUGAAAGAAAAUAUGAGAUACUUGAGAAAGUAAUUAUUAAAAAUGAAUUAGUGACUUAUGGAAAUGCUUGUACGUGUAUAGGGGCGGAUCUAUCAUGAUUUGUGGAGGCUUAAGCCCCAGUUCAGAAAAAUAAAUUCUAAAAAUUAAAAAGAAAAUUAUUUGAGUUUCCAAUAGCCCCCGUUUAGUUCAUUAAAAUAUCUAUCAUUAAAUAAAUAAAAGAUAGCCCCGUAAACUCAUAAAUUCAUAAAAUUAAAUCCUAACUUGUAAAAAUUAUAAAUACUCAUAUUUUAAUUGAAAAAAUAAAAGCUCGUAGUAACCUAUAUAAGUGAUUUUACUAAUAAUUAAUUUAACCGUAUUAAAUCUAUAAAAAUAACCUCUAUAAACUCAUAAAUUCAUUAAAUUUGAAUUCUUACAUCUUUUUGUUAUAUAUUUUAGCCUGAUAAAUCAUUUUUUUUAUCCACCAUUAUAAAGCUGGUAAGCAUUGAAGGCUUUUUCUUUUCUAUGAAAAGCCUUUACUUGGCCCAUUAAGGCCCAAAUUAACAAAAUCCUAAACUUUGCCCACAGCGACAAAAGCAAAGUAGGAGGAAUAGGAAGCAAUAAGGACCGCCCUCCCCUGUUAAUCACGUUCAUGUUGUCAGUUUUCACAUGAGUAAUUGUGCAUUCGUGCCUGUGCAGGUAGGAAUAGAAAUCUCUCCUGAUUCGAGCAUUACUGAGUUUUUAAUAAUCUUUUAUUAUAUGUCUUUUAAUAAUAAUGUAUAAAUAAAAUUUAACUUCUUUUAUAUUUUAAUUUAUUAACAAUCAAUCAGUGAUUGAGUUAUUUACUUAAAAUAUGAUCUGAUUAGGAGAAUUUUGAUCCGUACUGGAUACUGUUGAAAAUUAACAGUCUCCCUUUACGUACAUAUAAAAAGGGGCAAACCCUAUCUUACAUGCAUGUAAGAUACAUCCUCCUCACAUGAAUAGUGCAUGUGUGGGAUCCACACACUAUUCAUGUGAGAGUAAUGUAUCUUACAUGCAUGUAAGAUAGAAGGACCCAUAAAAAAGAUGUAGUACUAGUAUUACCAGUACUGUACCACUAUCCCUUGUGCUGUUUUGGAUGCUUAUGAGGCUAAUUAUGGCAAAUGAAGUGAGAAUUAAGCCAAAAAAAAAAAGAGAGAAGAGAAUUGAAUUGAUGGUUUUAAAACUUUUUAAAAAAAUUGUUAAUUAUAACUAUUGAAUUUAUGACUUUGAGGGUGAUUUAUGCAUAUAGGUGGGGCCGUUUUGAUAAGACAUGGGCUAACAUUUUUGUCGUUGGUGGAGCCCUUUUGAAUGACCGUUCAGCGGCUGCUUUCCUUGUCUUUGAAAAUUGAGCCCAGCUAUUAUAUUUUUAUUUAAUUUCUGCUCUGUGCUGACCGCUGUAUUGCCGUUGGAUUAUCGUGUUGUUACAGUAAAACUUUACUAUAUUCGUAUCAUUCACAUCAAGUUAGUUUCUUCUAAUUAUUAUUAUUAUGAGGUUAUGAUUUAAUAAGUGUAUAAUUAUAAACAAUAAUAUUUUAAUAUAGUUAUUAUUUAUUUAAGCGAUAUAAGAGUAAAGUGGACAUUACAUUAAUAAUUAAUCAAAGAAAUAUAUAAAAUUCAAUGUAUAGAUAUUGAUAAAAAAAAGAGAGAUAUAGUUUUAAAAAAUCUAUACAUGCAUCAUUGUAAUAUUAUGAAAAUUUAAAUAUUUACAAUCUAUUUAACGCUUUUCUCUCAAUAUAAAUUUCAUAAAUAGUUUACAUCGUAUAAAUUAUUAUUCCAAAUAACUUAAACAAAUUAUUUUGUUCCAUUUUAAACUUCCCUUAUUAUUUUGUUCCAUUUUAAAAAAUUAAGAGGACGAAUGAAAGAAAAAUGAAAGAAAAAAGAAAGAAAAUAAAGGAAAUUAAAAAAAAAAUUUAAUUUUAAAAGACCUCAUUUGUAAUUUAUUUUAACUAAAAUGCUUAAUCAGAAAUUAAAUUUUUUUUUGGGUUAAUGUCGUUUCAGUGAUAUAUUUUUUCACAAAUAUCAAAAAGUUGGUAUAAUUUUUUAAAAUAGGCAGAUAGGUGAUAAAUCGUUAAUUAUUUGCCGUUAAUUGUUACGACAUAAAGAUAAAAUGGAAACAAUUGAUACAAAUGAUAAACAACAAAUGGUUAAUGUCACUUUAGUGACACAUGCUUCGACAUCGAUAAGGUGAUAAUUGUUUGAAAAUACUUUUAUAAGUGGCAAACUGUUAAGUUUUGCCAUUAAUUCUGACGAUACAAAGAUGUUAUAAUUGAUAGGAAACAUGAGGGAAAGCUAUUGAUAGAAUGGUGUUGGAAAAUAUAUUGAAUACCUUUGUUGUUACAGAAUUGGGCAUAUAGAUUGGUUGUUGUGAAUAGGACUUUGAAAGAACAUAUUUACUAUGAACAAGACUUUGAAAGAAUAAAUGUGUAAUAUCCUAGGUGAAUCUCACAUCAACAAAGCACAUGAGAAAUGCUGUGUUUAUAAGGGGUGAUCUACACCUUAAUUGGCAGGACGCGUUUUAGGGUAUAUGAGCGCCCCAAGAACAAAACCAUGCAGGUCUUGUUAAGACCCAAAGCGGACAAUAUCUUGCUAGGUUCGAGUUGGGUCACGACAGAUGGUAUCAAAAUGGCUCUGUGUGUCCUCUUGAGCAAUGGUGGGGCAAACCUCAGCGAUGACACUGAGUUCCUAAGGGGGUGUGUGUGACACCCUAGACAAAUCCCACAUCGGCAAAGCACGGGAGAAAUGCUGAGUUUAUAAGGGGUGAUUCACACCUUAUUUGACAAGACGCGUUUUGAGGUGUAUAAGCGCUCUAGGAACAAAACUAUGCAGGCCUUAUUAAGGCUCAAAACGGAUAAUAUCUUGUCAGGUCUGGGUUGGGUCAUGCAAAAUGUUCACAAAGCCAUUAUCUAGAAUUCUUGAAGAUUUGACAAAAAUGUUAUAAUUGAUAGGAAACAUAAGGGAAAGAUAUUGAUGCAGUGUUGUUAGAAAAUAUAUUGAAAAUCUUUGUUGUUACAUAAUUGGGCAUAUAGAUUGGUUGUUAUCAAUAGAACUUUGAAAGAACAAAUGUUCACGAAGCCAUCAUCUAGAAUUCUUGAAGAUUUGACAAAGAUGUUAUAAUUGAUAGGAAAAAUGAGGGAAAUAUAUUGAUAGAGCGUUGUUGGAAAAUAAAUUGAAUAUCUUUGUUGUUAUAGAACUAGGCAUAUAGACUAUAGGACUUUGAAAGAACAUAUUUACUAUGAACAAAACUUUAAAAGAACAAACGCUCACGAAGCCAUCAUCUAGAAUUCUUGAAGAUUUGAGUCUAAUAUUUACAAAAUUAAUGCUAAUGAGAAUUCUAUGAGCUUUUUUAUAUUUGUUGAAAAACGUAUCACUCAGGUGACAUUAAUUAUAUUUCUUUUAGGCCUAUUAAGUCACUUUUCAUUGUCAAUACUUAAUGUGAUAGUUUUUUAUAUUUUUAAUUUAAAGGGUAAAAUGGUAUUAUAGAUUAUUAAAGUCAAUUAAUUGAUUGAUAAUUUAUGAGUGAGGCUAUUUAAGCCGACAAAAAUACUCUCUAAAUAAUUUUUUAAUUUAAAAUAUUAUUACUCAAAUACCAUAAAGUAAAAUUACUUAAAAGGAUAAGAAUUUUUUUAAAAAAAAAAACUCUCUGAACCUAUUUUACAAACCGAAAUUAUCUUCUCUAAAAGAAAAUAACUCUAAUUCAUGUGCAAUUAUAUAUAUUCGCUCUGUAUACAAAUCAUAUUUCAAAUUUUAAUUAUUGCAAUUAUCAGUGCCUCGCUAUUGAAUAUUGAUAGAUAGUUAGGCAAAUAACCAAAUCUUUCAACUUCUUGCUCGUUGGCGCAGCCAUGUCGGUAUCGAAACUAACGAAAAUAAAAGUAAGUUCAUGCCACGAAUUUGCAGUAAAAGAAAAUUCUCCAGUGUUUUUUGUUUUUAUGAACCAUUCAAAAAUUAACAACACUUAAAUCAUUGAUUGUUUCACUUUUAAAUUAUAUAUAAUAUCUUUAAAAAAACAUAUAUUUUAAUAAGGAUAUAUUGGGUAUAUGGAUGGAUUUAUAAAGCAAAAGAUGAAUUUUUAAAUUUUAUUAAUGGGUUUUUUGAGUAUAUGGGUUUGUUAAGUAUUUUAGUGGCUUCAAAUAUUCUCACCCAUGAUUUAUAUGUCUAAGGCAAUGGCUAACAUUAAGAUAAGGUUAAAAUUAAUUUUGUUGGUUUUCAUUGUGGUGAUAUUGUAAAUAAAAUUUGUGAUUAUUAUAUUUAUUUUAUGAAUUAAAAUACAAGAAAAAGUUAAUUUAAUUCUUUUAAAGUUCUGUUACUAAUUUUUUCUAUAAGAGGUUUUUACUUUUUAUUAAUGGAUUUAUCUUUGUCAUCUAACUUAGGAUAUGUCGUACCUCAAGGGAUAGAAUGAAAAUUAUCAUUCUGAACCCCACAAAACUGUCUGUUAGUACAUUUAGUUAGGGUUGAGGGUAUUAUGGUACUUUAAUAAGUCAACAUCAACAACAGUUAAAUUUAAUAGAUUUUAAAGAUUAAAUUGAAGGAUUUCAUUCUAACGGGGUAAGUUAAAACUUAAAGAAAUAGUAUUUUUUUUUAUACCGGUACAACAAUUUUUUUAAUAAUCAUUUAUAAAAAAUACCAGCCAACUUAAGGCUACAUUUUAUGUUCUAUUGUCUUGUUAAUAAUUAUCUAUAAAAUUUAAAUUAUUUAAUUAACCCUAAAAGUAAAAUAAUAAUAAUGAAUUUACUUUUAUUUUUUAUUUUUAUUUUAGUACUAAUUUGAUAAAUUAACUUUUUGUCUUUUUAUUAAUGUCACUAAGGAUAUUAUUACAAAGGUAUUAUUGUAAAAGUAAUAAAAAAUAAGGGAAAGAAUGUCACAUAUUUAAUAUUAGAGAAAUUUUGUGAUACUUUUUAAAUUAUAAUAAUUAAACAAGUACUUAAUUUAAAAUAUAAAGAUUAAAAUAACAUUUACUCAAAAUAAUUCCUACUUAAUGACAUCACUACCUUGCAGAUAACUGGAUUUUCCACUCUCACACUUCCUUCUGCAUUUACCAUAGCAUACGUGCCAAACUUUUUUUUUUUUUAAAUUUCUUUAAUGAGCAAAAUAUCCAGUUAGCACUUGGCAGUAAAAUUUUAAUCUUUGAUCAUCCAUAUCAUAGCUUAUAGUUGGAGCGUGAGUUCUAAUUGAAAGUGUGUUCGGUAGAGUUUUUCCUUUUCAAAAUUGUCUUCUAAAAAUAAAAACAUCUAAAAUGUCUUUCAAUAAUUAAUACUGUAAAUUUAAAAGAAAAUGAAAAAUUGUGGAUGGAAACAAAUACUAGACAUGUCAACUAGUAUGAGGUAUUCUAGAAUAUAUUAGCGUAUUAUGUUAGUCAUACAAUAAGUAAAUGAUGUUAUGAUAUGUGUAUUUAUUUUAAAAACCUAAGUAAUAGUUAUAUUAAAUUGAAUUACAUAUAUUAUACAUGUAUUAAUCGAUUAUAUUACUUCUAAUAUAUGUUAGAAUUUUUAAUUAACUACACUAUGUGUCAAAGGUGUGUGGAUCAUUGUUGAAUGAUGCAUAUAAUUUUUUGAAAUAAAAAAUUUAAAAUAUAUACUACUCUUUUAUUUGAUACGAGUACAACAAAAUUUAUUUAAAAAAUAAUAAUAAAAUUAUCUGAUUGGAACGCUUCAAUUAACUUUUAAAUAAAGGUUAUGGCUGUUUUAGAGUUUCUCUAAAAUAAAGUAUGAAUCAUAACCGCACACAUAAAUAAUAAAUAAUAAAAAAAUUAUUAUAAUUUUAAUAUUAUGAUUAUGAAAAAAAUAUUAUACCUUAAAAGAGGACCGUUACCGACCCUUUACAUAAAAUAUCGAAACAAAAAGCCGUAUCCCUUAAAUUUUUGAACUCGUGUGCAAGGUUAGUACUCAGUAAAGCUGCUUUCGAAGUCUAGCAUUGAAAAAUGAUUUGGCAUCUUUAAAAGUUAAAAACAAUAACUGGGAUUUUCAAGGUGCUUCGAGACUUUCUAGAAGUAGUCCAGCUGGACCUGAAAAUCCGAGCAGAUUUUUUUGAACAAAAGGGCAUUUUGGGUCAAAGAAUUCAUCCUCGGAUUCGAUGAUUGCAAAGCGAAAUAAUGAAAAACCGAGUCAACAUUUCCGGAGAACGCGAUUGGUUUACGAGAUAUCGGAGCCGCUAUGCGUGACACACGUGUAAACGUCGUUGGCCCGUGGGAUUAUUUAAGAAACAUAAAUGAGAUGUGCAAUUUUGUAGAAAGGAUUGCACACUGUUGGUACGUCAUAAAUAUUAAACAGCGCCGAGCUGCCAAUAAAUUGACCGGUCACCAGUCGUCCAAUUUUUUAAAAUUGUUGAAUUGAACGACAAAUAAUUAUAUGCCCCUUCAUUAAAAUCUGGAUUUUUUUUUAAUGCUUAUACGAUUUCCGUAUAUUUUUAUAAUCUUUAAAUUACAAACAGUAUAAUACCGUUCAGAAAUCUAUCAUUUAUUAAAAUAAAAAAUUUACUUCUAACUUACGUACAAAGAAAUAUUUAUAUAGUCAAGAGAGAAUCAAGAAUACCCAUGCACUGAGGUCUACAAGUCCAAAUGGCCAUUAAAUUUGGAUUAUAAUAAUAUAUUGAGUUAUGUUGAGUUACAACUUAUGUAACUUUUUUUCCCUCUCGCCAACCGCAACUUUUUUCAUCUUUUGGGUGUGCAAUCUCUCUCUCUCUCUCUCUCUCUCUUUAUUUUAAAGCUUGGAAUACAACUUCUUGUAGAUUUACUGAAUUCUAUCAAAAUUAUCCCAUCAUGACUAGAUUUGAUCAUAAACCAAAAUUACAAAAAAGAAAAGGCCCAAAUUUUAUAAAGAAAAAUGAAUGAGGUGAAAGCUGCUUCAUGAAGUCAAAAACAAACCCAUUCUAAGUUUUGAAAUCAUGCAUGCUAAAGAUCUCUUAGGCUGUGAGCAUAUUUAUUUGUUUAUUUUCUAGAUCAUAUUUCACAUAAAACUGUUAAAAAGUUUGGAAAUGCAGAGUGUUUCUGACGGAUUUUCGAUGAGGAUAACAGUGUGUACAAAAAGACAAAUAAUUGGCGGGCGUGCGUGCGUGCGUGCGUGUACUGAAAGUUGUAACUUUACUCAUUCAACUGAAAUGCAAAGACUGUAGUAAAGUAGAAAAUGAUGAAUGUUUUCUUAAUUUGGUAAACUGACGCAAAUAGCAAGAUAAUCAGACAGGUGUUGUUGGCUUAAGGCGGCGAUAGUGAUGGCAACGAGAAAGGCCUAUCUAAUUCUCCAUCCCCCAUUAAAAAUUUCAUUUCCAAUCUCCAUCUCAUUUCUUAAUAAAUUUAAUAAGAUAGAGAUAAAAAAUACUCGCAUAAAGAUUCCUAUCUCUACCUCAUUACUCAUUUAUUUAUUUUAUAAUAAAUAUAAAUAUAUAAUUUUAAUAAAUUAAAAAUUAAAAACUUAAAUAAAAUCAAUACUAUAUUAUAAAAUAUUUAAAUUAUUUUAAAAAAAAUUCAAAUAUUUGAAACAAUAUCUUAAAAUAAUAUCAAAAUUGAAAAAUAUUUAAAAAGAGCAGUAUCUUAAGAGAGAAAAAAAAAACAUAACAAUAUUUUAGAGUUGAAUAAAAAUUAUAUUAUAUGGUUUUUUUUUUAAUUAUAACUCAUUUAUAUCAAGUAAAAAUAAAAAGAACAUUUAUUAGCCAACACUAUAAUUGAUGAAAUAAAAGUUAUUAAAUAAAAAUUAAAAAAAUAUUUGUAUAUAAUGAGGAUUGAGGUGGGAGUGUGGUGAGGAGUGCAAAACUAAAUCACACCCUAUUAAAAAUUUAGGAUUAUUUUUCCUCAAUUUCUCAAAAAUUAUUUAAAACUCACAUCAUUUAAGGUGGAGCCCCGUGAGACCCCAAACCCAUAAAAUUUUUUGUCAUAAGUAGGCGGCGACUACAAUAGAUAAUUACUUGUAUGGGUGACAGCUGCUACCAUUGCUCCAAUAGUCUAUAACACAUUAGACGUCAGUGUUCACUUUUUUCUUUUUAAUACUGCUUUCAGAGCUUAUUGAGUUAAAUAACUUCUUGGCAUAAAAAUUGUUGUGUUACAUCAAUAAUAAGUGGAUAUAUUAAAUCUGGGAGUUUAUUAAGAGUCUAAGUGUAUAUAUAUAUAUAUUUGUAGUAUAACUUAUAGUCUUAAAGAUCUAUUAAACGAACAUUAAUUUGUAGUAUAACUUAUAGUCUUAAAGAUUUUAUUAAGAGUCUAAGUGUAUAUAUAUAUAUAUUUGUAGUAUAACUUAUAGUCUUAAAGAUCUAUUAAACGAACAUUAGUUCAAAAUUUACUCUUAAUAAUAUUUGAGAAAACAUCUAUCCUAACCCAAAUUUUUAAGAAAGAAAAUGAGAUUAGUCCCCCAGAGAAUUUGGAGGUGUGAGUAGGACAAGCACUGGGCCAUAAGCUCCAGUGGCAUAUAAAAUGCUUGAUUGAAGCUAGGGUUUCCGAGAGAAGGAAUUAUUCACGUGUUGAAUUUUCCUUUUUUUUUUUUUUUGAUUGAUUGGUAGUGUUUAUCAUAUGAUCAAUGAUAAUAUCAUAACGCGCAUGUUUAUAUCCACUAGGAGUUAGGAUCUGGUUUAAGUUUUCUUGUAAAUCACCGGCAUAGAAGAUUGUAAUCAGCACACUGAUUAUCAAAUUGAAUUGGAUGGAUCCAAAAUAACAAUCGAUUGAAUAGACUUGUCCGAUAUUAGACCAAACUACAAAAUGAUCUAAAUUAGCAUUUGCUCUGAAAAUGAAUAUACUGCACCAACAAACGCGUAGAUCAACUAGCAUGUGGUUGUUCUAGCUUAAUCAAGGUCCUCGGUUCGAGUAUUGGGAAUGCAGCUGCGUUAAAUACUUAUUGGGAGAGCUUUGCCGCCCUAGUGGUCCUACCCGGCUCGAAGUUGGAUUAGUCGGGACCCAAUGUGAUUUUCGAAUACCAAAUGAUUUAAUACACCGAAAAAUAUACUGUAAGAAUUCUUUUUUUUUUUUCAGUUCUGUUUGACUUUGACCCUUCAGAUCCAGAAAAAUCCUUGAAGUUUUACACCCAUCGUAGCUUAAUUAAAUGAAAUGCAAGCAAAUAAAAAAGGUUUUGCACCCAAUGGAACAAAGAAACAAACGUAUUGCACUGCAAUGAGAAGCAAAUAGAAAAUGGUUUUUGUUAUCGUAAUAAUGAAAUCUGGUAGCUAAUUAACGUUCAGUUGCGUUAGCUCGGUCAAAGGGCACACAACGAGUCGCGACAUUUAUCUUCAAUUGCACGAGUUGGAUUGUGUCGCUGUUAAGAGGCGGCUAUAGCACCUGGACACAUUACCAAAGCGAUGACCGAAGGGAAUACGAAUUAAUAGUAAAGCGCACCAGCUGCGGAGACUAUAGGGUAAUACUACGGAUGGGACCCUAUAUUUUAUUGUUCAUCAACAAAAUUGGUCAAAAAUUGAGCACUUUGACUACGCUGUUGUACCAUGUCAGCAGUCACAUCUGUGGCGGCCGGUCUCAAAUUUUAAUUAAAAAUAAAAAAAACUGAUAUUUAAAUUUAUGGGUUGCCUUGCCUUCUCAACGGUUGCAUUAAUAUCUCUUCGUUAGCUGUUUCUAUAUAAACAAAGUCCAAGUCCAUUAGGAAUCACAUGCAUAUGCUCAUAUUUACUUAUUAAUUACUAACAUGGAAGCUUAUACUUCGUCUUCAUCAACAGCAGCAGCAUACAUGAUCGGGAACAAAGAGGAAGCAAUUAGGGGUGUGAGAGCGGUAACAACAACAAACUCUUCUUAUCAAUCGUCGCUUCAUUCGGUUCGUAAAUCCCCGUUAAAGACAGUGAAGAAGCCAAUAGCACCGCUGCCACCGACACGACCAAAAGUGUACAAAGUGGAUCCUGUAAACUUCAGGGACUUGGUACAGAAGCUGACAGGUGCAUGUGCAUAUGAGAAUGAGAGUGAGAGCCAGCAGCCGCAGUCUCAGCGCCUGAAAAGCGUGGCACCCCCACCGAUUAAUGUUUCCAGUUCCCGAAGCCCAUUUUCAUUUUGUGGUGGAGAGUUUGCACCCCAACAGCUGCUUCCUUCACCAGCGAAGUCUCCAUUCUCUGCUUUGUACAAGGAUUUGAUGUCAGAAGUAUCAUCAUCGGAUGCCAAACCUCAGAAGUUAUCAGAUUGUGGAAUAGCAUCCAAUUCACUGGGGCUGAGCUUGUCGCCAUCCUCUUAUAAUUGGUUUUCUUAUCCUCUCCUGAGUCCUGCAAGUCUUUCCACUUUGUAGCUGAGAGUAGUUCUUUAGUUUCAGAUCCCCUUCAGGAUUUCAUUUCUUUUUUCUUUUCUUUUUUACAUCCUACAAUAAAAGUGGUUGAUCUCCGUCACCUCGAUCAAUUUGUGCAAGACAACCUUGGAUUGUAUUGACUUCACAACUUCUAAUUUAUUCAGCAUUAUUUUCGAAAUUAUGACUUUUGAAUUAUUGCUUCAUUUUCAAUAAUUAUUGUAUGUAUGUAUGUAUGUAUGUAUAUAUAACAUGGAGAGAGAGAGAGAGAGAGAGAGUUGCAUGAGGCCAAACAGAUAAUUAAGAAGUAGCUUUAGACCAACAAGCGCGUAGAUCAGCUGGUAAAGGGUUGUUCUAUCUUAACCAAGGUUUUCGGUUCGAGACUUGAGAAUGCAGUUGUAUUAAAUACUUAUUGGGAGAGCUUUACCGCCCUAGUAGUCCUAUCCGGCUCGAAUCUGGAUUAGUCGAGCCCUAAUGUGAUUUUCGAAUAUCAGAUGGUUUAAUAUACCAAAAAAAAGGUAACUUUAGAAAUUAAUCUCUUUAUGUAAGACUAUGUUUGUUAUAACUUUUCAAAUAAUUUUUUUUAAUUAGAUAUUUUAUUAGAAAAACCUUUACAAGUAAAGUUUUCACUAAAAAAAAUUUCUUUGUCUAGUUGUUAAUAAGAGAAAGUUUUCUAAAGUUAUUAUGAAAUGGAUGAAAUAAAAUUAUAAAAUAAGCAAAGUUUUCACCCAAAAAAAAAAAAGAGUUGAGCUAUUAGCACCUCUUUAUUGUUCUAAUAAAACACCUUUAAGAUAAAAUUACAUUAAAGGACAUUUAAAAAAAAUUAAACCUAUUAUUAUUUCUCUUUCCACCAAUUCUUUACACCACUCCUGCGAAAUUUACCUUUUCUUUUUUCGGCCAACACUUUUGUAUUCAUCAUCCAUCCUGUUAUGCUACUGUAUUAAUAUAAUCUCUUGCUAAUUUCAAGAUCGGAUGAAUAUAAAUAGCUUAAGAAUUAGCAACCAACAAAAAGUUUUUUGAAGUCAAAUACACACAAAUUUUGUAAGGAUAUCUACAAUUCACUCUUGCGAAAUUGGUUCAUGGACAUCCAAAAAUUAGAGUUUGGCUUUAAGAAAUUUGAGAUGAAUUUGUUCUAUUAUUCAUUUUUUGUUGUAGUCCUGAUGAAUUUAAUUUUAUUAAAGAUAGGAAUUAAGAAGGACAGAAACACAUCAAUUAAAGUUGAAAAUUGUAAACUUGUAGGUUAUCUUAGUUCACACGACAAUAAUUGCCACAGAAGCAAAAAUCUUUUAUUUGCAACACCUUAUGAAUAAUGAUUACCCAAUUUUCAGUGCAUAAACAUCAAGAACAAUCUCUCUCUUUCUCUCUUUUUUAAUAGUUUUCUUAUAAGUCAAUCAUUUCCUUAAGGAUUGGUUUUAAACUCUAAAUUAAAAUGUACAUUUGAUUGAAAUUAAAGAUAAGAAGACUGAUGGAAAGAGAACGAGAAACAAGAUACCUGUAUUUCAGAUUUUAAGAGAGAGAAAGUUAUUUAGAAUAACUGAAAUAAUGAUAUUUUUUGAAUUAAAGAGGGUGUUAAUAGUUAUGAUGAAUUUUCUAAUAUUAUUAAAUGGGGUACGCUUAAUAACAAGGUUUUUAUAAGAUGUAAGAGGGGUGCCAAUAGCUCCACUAAAAAAAAAUAAUAGUUGUUUGAUUGCUAAUAACAGCUUUUAUUAGAAUUGUAAAAUUACUUUAAUUAACAAGUUUCUCAAAGUUACUUUAUGAAAGAAUCAAAUAAAAUUGUCAAAUAAGUAAAUAAGAUUUUAGAAAUUAUAAUAUUUUUUAAAAAAAGUUUUCAACCUAUCCUCAUAAAAUGUUAAAAUUUGAGCUUUUCAAUUUCAACUGAAAAUUUGAACUUUUGCUAGUAAAAGGAAAAUAACUUAUUUAAUUUUCAAAAGCUAUACUUAAAAAACAAACAAAUAAUAACGUGAAAUUUAAAAAGAAUUUAUAGGAUUAAAUAGACAAUUAUAACCAUUUAAUAACUCAUACUAAUCAGACACUAAGGCUAUGUUUGGUGCAACUUUUCAAGUAAAGUUUAUUUAAAUAGAGCUUUUAUUAGUAGAAUUACUUUAAUAAGUAAGUUUUUUAAAGUUAUAUUAUAAAAAGAACUUUAAUAACUCAUACUAAUCAGACACUAAGGCUAUGUUUGGUGCAACUUUUCAAGUAAAGUUUAUUUAAAUAGAGCUUUUAUUAGUAGAAUUACUUUAAUAAGUAAGUUUUUUAAAGUUAUAUUAUAAAAAGAACUUUAAUAACUCAUACUAAUCAGACACUAAGGCUAUGUUUGGUGCAACUUUUCAAGUAAAGUUUAUUUAAAUAGAGCUUUUAUUAGUAGAAUUACUUUAAUAAGUAAGUUUUUUAAAGUUAUAUUAUAAAAAGAACUUUAAUAACUCAUACUAAUCAGACACUAAGGCUAUGUUUGGUGCAACUUUUCAAGUAAAGUUUAUUUAAAUAGAGCUUUUAUUAGUAGAAUUCCUUUAAUAAGUAAGUUUUUUAAAGUUAUAUUAUAAAAAGAAUAAAAUAAGAUUGUCAAAUAAGUGGAGGAUAUAUUAGGUAUUCUAACAUUUAAAAAAAAAUUAAACUUCAACUUCUAAAAACCCAAAAUUUGAGUUUUUUCUUAUAGAGGUAAAAUAACUUAUUUAAAUUUCAAAAACUCUACUAAAAAAUCAACCAAAUAACAACAAAAUUUUGAUAGCUUAUGAGAUUAAAUAAGCACUUAUGACCGUUAGAUAAGUCAUACCAAACAUGUACUAAAUUACAUGCUAUCUUUUUUUUUUUUUAAUGCUAUAACAUUAAAAUAUUUGGUAAAUUUUCAAAAAUACUACUGUCACUAAGUCACAUGAUCUCUUACUUUUUAAGUUAUAACAUUAAAAUAUAUGAAAAAUUUUGGUAAAUACUACCGUCCCUAUUGUGACUUAAAAGUUAAUUUAAUUUAAUUCUAUACUUGUAAGAUUAAAGAAAAAAAACUUAUGGUGUCUUAUUAUCUUUGCUAUUUUUAAAAAUUAUUACUCAAAACUUAUAUUAACUACAUUAAUUUUUAUUUAUGUCUAUUUUAUAUCCACAACCUUUUCUCAUAUAGCAUUUGUAGCUUAAAAAGUUACGGUACUAAACGGGAUCUUCGUUUAUUGUGGUCACCGUCUUGUUCCUUUAGCUGCUUACUAUUCAUAUCCGAGCCUCAAAGGAUGAAGGUGGUAAAUUCGUCACCUUAAUCAUCGGGAUUUUCAUCUUGAAACUUGUGAGGUAUACAUAUACAAUUGUCUUGGAUACUUUCGACAUGAUAAUUAAUUAUUGGACCUGUCUACCUUACAGAUUCUGUAACAUACGCACCCAAUGCACGCACCACACCUGUCCUGCGUAUGGAGAAAAAGCAUGCAAUUGUUUUUGUUUGAUAGCUAGCUAACCAAUCAGGAGCUGGCUAAGUUGGAUCUGUAUGUUACAGAAUCUGUAACUUAGCCAGCUCCUUAAUUAUUCUGUAUGUAUAAAAUAAAGCAAAUCUCCAAUAUACCAAUCUGCCAACUACCCUCAUUAAUGUAAAAUCAUCAAUAUCUCCAAUAUACCAACAAAAUAAACAACUAGCAACCAAUCCAUUUAUGAAUCUCUCAACCGAUAAAGUAUUAAACGUAUUUUUAGGAACACCAAAAACACAACUCCAUACACCUGUGGCUGUAACGCCACCAUCCCACAUCCAUACUGCUAAUAACCUGACCCGACAUACCAUCACAGACAUUCACACUACAAUUAGCAAGUACAUAAAACUUAAUAAUCAACAUUGAAGAUUUGUCUGCCCUGAAAUAUCUAUUGCACAAUUCCUGCUUAGACGUGUAGUAAAACUGGAAAAAGUAGUAGACUUGACCUGAGACAAUGCAUUUAAUUUCUUUGUAUUUGCCGAUGACUAUGAUAUGGUCCAAGGAGUUACUUUAUUGACUAAAAUUUUCAGUUUUGCUUGCAGCAUGAUUAAUCUGCAGAUUCAUAAAUCUCCAAAAUCCACAGAAUAUUGGGCCCUAGAAAUGAAAUUACAUUCUGAAAGCAGAUGGAAUAAGAAUAAUACUGUAAGCCAUAAAAUAUGGUUCAUCUAUAUUUAUAUCUGCUCAGAAUCACUGUACAAGUCUUUUUCCGCAUUUUGGUAGGAUUCAAACAAGUUCAUGAAUUUGCCUUGAAAUCAGGGAAACAGAAGAAAUAAAAGGCAAUUCAGACAGAAAACCUAUGUGUUCAUGUACUAUUUUCAAAUUCAGUUACAUGAGGGUUGACUCUGCUACUAUUGAUCCCAGUAGUUCCGAAGCUGUGACAUAUGCAAAAGAAGCUCAUCUCUUCCCAAACCAGUGACGCUGCUAGUCAUGAUCCAAGGGGGAUGAUGAGGGUAGUUUUCUCUAAUCAGCUGUUGAAAACUCUUGAUGUUCUCAUCGGGCCUUCUUCCUUUUGCCACCUUCAUCUUAUCACACUUUGUGAAAACAAAAGUCAACGGUAUCUGAACCAAGCAGAAAUAUCAAAAAACUCUUAGAAGAUUGAAUUUUCACAUUGUUUCAGUAAGUUAAACAAACCCCUUCUCAACCCUAGUUUAAACUAGAUUGAAACCACAGAUCUGUUAUACCACAGCAAGAGGAUUUAACAGUUGAACCAAUUGGUACCCACUACCUUGUUUCAGUAAGCUAGCAAUAUAAUCUGCAUACCAAUGACACUUAAGAUAAAGAGCAACAUACAUUGUUGCGUCCAAGCCAAUUUGCACAGUCUAGAUCCAUCUUUUGAGGAGGAACACUCGCAUCGAUAAGAAGUAGGACGCUGACCAAAGAUUCUCUAUUUAAAAAGUAGCCUUUUGUGAAUGAGGACCAAUCCAUCCGAGCAACAUCUGGUGCUUUAGCAAAACUGCAAACAAAGUGCACCCCCUAAACAUUAUGUGACUAACAAAUAAUCCAUGCCUUCACUAGGUUUAGUUAAACUAAAGUGAACUAUUAAGCCAAAUUACAGAUUACAGAGUUUUCAAACAAGGCAAACAAACUCCAGAAGGAAGUAAGGUACACACAAACCCCUAAUCUACAAUUGCCAGUAACAUAGUUGAUGAAAAAGACACCCCAGGUAUAGAUCACAAACAUGCAAUUUCACAACACAUCUUCCAAGGUUUACAAAACUUGGUUCAAAAUUCAAGCCAAUUUCAAACUUUAUGACAGAAGCAGAAGAAUAAAUACUAGUGAAGAAAAAACGGAAAUACGACAAUGGACCAGAUGUGCAAAUUAUAAAAAAAAGAACAUCCUCAAUGAACAACAAGGCCUUAACAAAUGAACCGACAUAAAACAGAGACCUGCCAAACAUAUUAUCAAGAGAACUGUCACUGAGAUUUCCAAAGAGUUUCUUACAAUCACAAAAGAAUCCAAAAUUAUUUAAAAUUUGACACCCAACUCCAUUGAUUGAGCUCAUGGAGUGCAGAAAAGUAUUCAUUUUCUUCGGCUUUUUAGAAAUGAAAAAGUCGAUGGUAUUUUUACUCCGUCAGAUCAGUUAUCCAACCAUGUCCACUUAUAUAUUACAGAAACCUACACAGCUUCAAAAAUAGUCUUCUUUCAGACAAAGAUAAAUCCGUGUCUUCCAUCGCAGAAAAGUUAACAUAGGGAAACUUUUGAUAUAGUCAGUACAACAAUGAAAAUAAUGCUUCGUUAGGUCAAUUUCCCUGCACUUAACACAAUUUCAACUAGGAUCAGAUACUGAGGGCAGUAUGCAAGAGAAAUUCUAUCCUAUCUAACCUAUGAAAGCCUAGAAAGCUCAACCCAGCAGAUUCACAAAACUAGAUUAUUAAAUGGAGUUUUGGAUAUAAUUAGCAGGGGAAAAUAUGAAAGCAAUCCUCUUGUUGUUUUUAGACAUUAAACUAGUUUUAAAUUGUAUCUGAAAACUGCUUAUAAGAACUCCUUAGAAAUCCAUUUUCUUUCAACUAUUUCGUACCCCAACGUUCUUUUUUUUUAAAAAUUAUUUCCGCAUACACACAAAUAGUAGGUAAAUUACUUACAAAGACAGAAGAACUUACCCAUAACCAGGCAAAUCCACUAUAUACCAACUUUUAUUCACCAAAAAAUGAUUAAUCAGCUGAGUCUUCCCUGUAAAACUCAUAAUUUAAUUACAACGAACAGUUAAAAAGAAAAAAGUACAUUAAACAAGCAACAAAAGAAAAAAAAAAACAAAAACCUGGCUUUUUGGACGUGAGUGCAAGUUCUUUCUUGCGAACCAGAGCAUUAAUAAGCGACGACUUUCCCACAUUGGAUCGACCCAAAAUUGCAAACUCGGGUCGGUCAUCUUUCGGACAAUCCUUAGCCCGACCACUGCUUUUCACAAACUCGACUUCUUUAAUCUGGGAAUGACCCGCGUAGGGUCCUACUACAAUAUUCGAUCCCGGUAAUAUCAUGUCCUCAGUUACCUCGUCUGGGUCAACACCAGGCGGCACGAAUAGGACGGUCCGAACGAACCGGGCCGUGUCUGAUACGGUUUGUGAUUGUUUUGACGUUUUCGAGGCUGAAGUCGCAUGGGGUCUCCGGUUCUGGCUUCGGGUGGAGAACACCAACUGGGUUUUGAGAGAGAGAGCAAACGGAUAUGGUUUUGGAGAUGGUGAAGCUGAUAAGAGAAGGAACAGACGAUUUCGAAGUAACAUUUUUCAGUGGGAGUUCUUGGGGUUUUGGGGUGGGGCACUGGGGCUAUGCAGACUUAAGCACCGAGACAGAAACGACGCCGUUCCAGCAAUGAAUUGAAAUUGUUGCCACCUUUGCUUCUCGUUCUUACCAUGUUUUUCAGUUGCCAAUUAAUUUGUACCAAUAUUAGCGUUACAUAUUACCCAAGAGUUUACCGAGGUGAACUCAAAAAGCAAUUAAAAUUUUAUAAUUAGAAGUGUGUAUAGAUAUUAACCAUACAUGAGGGGUUGAGAAAGAGUUGUUUACCGUUUGUUUGGUAUGAUUUGUCUUAUGGUCAUAAGUACUUAUUUAAUCUCAUAAAAUUUAUCAAAAUUUUUUGUUGUUAUUUUAUCUUUUUUAAUAAACAUUCUGAAGAUUAAAUAAGCUAUUUUAUGGCUUAAAUUUUAAAUUUUAUGGUUUUUGAGAAUAAGUGGAAUUUUUUUAAAUGUUAAAAUAUCUAAAAUAUCUACUUAGUUUAUAAUCUUAUUUUAUUAUUUUCAUAACAUAGUUUUUAAAAAAUUACUUAUUAAAGAAUUUUAUAAUUUUAAUAAAAAUUCUCUUUGACAAUCAAACAACUAAAUUUUUUUGGGGUAAAAAUUCUACUUAAAUAAGUUUUACUUAAAAAGUUAUAUCAAACGAAGCCUUGCUUGGGGAACGGGUUGUGAAAAAGCUUGAUAUCUUUGGAAUCGCCAUUGUUGAGAGUGAAGAACUUAGUGAUUGAAAUCCUAUAAAACAAUGAUCCACAUGCUUAAAUCAGAAGUUAGAGUGACAUGGUUAGGAAAGAAGAGAGAGUAAUAAGAGGAAGCUUGCAGAUAUUGCACCCUUCCCCUAAUAUCUUGUCUACCUUUGUUUAUACAUUUGAGUGAUGACAUCUUUAUUGAAGAGAAAUAAUUAAGUUAGAAAAACCUAUCUAAUCUUGUAUCAUUUGAGUUUUGUGAGGACUACAACUUGUAUUGUUUGAUCAUGUUUAGAUUAAGACAUGUUAUCAUAUGUGAGUUCUCAUGCUCAAAGGCCUAAUUUAUUUAUGUCAUCAGGUGGAGUUUAGUAAAAAUAUAGGUAUAACAGUGUGGGAUGAUAUUGAUGGCUCUCCACCACAUGCACACAGAUUGCAUGGAUGAUCUCAUCUUACCUAAUUGAUCAGCCCACUAGUCGUACCAGUAUUAGCUGAUUGGCUAUGUUAUUUGAAGGACCAAUUUGUUAAAUCAACUAAGAAAUAUCAGAUUAAGGACCCAUUUGGGAUUGCUCUUGAGAUACUAAAAAGUGACUUUGAAAAAGUUACAAAUUAAUUUUAGUAUUUGAUAAAUUUUUUUACAAAUCACUUUUGUAAAAUAACAUCUUCCUAAAGCAGAUUUUGAAAAGAAAUGAAGAAGUAUCUUUUCAAAUUAAAGAAGUUUGCAUUUGAAAAAAUUGAUUAAUUUAAUAAAAGAGAGAAUUUGAUUUGAUUUGUUAAAUAAACUGAUUCGUUUAUUUAUUUAGGAUCCAUUUGUAUUUUUAGGAUAUUAAUUUUAUGGUUUUUGUCAUUUUAUUUUACUUGAUUUUUGUUCAUCAAUUAUUAUUUUUGUAAUCUAAUCCAUAUUCGAAUUAUUUUGUUAUUAAUUUUACAUAAAAGAAUUAAACGAAUUGUAAAUAAAUCCAAAAUUUAUUCGAUUCAUUUAAUUGUACAUCAAAAAAUUAAACGAAUAUUUGAUUAAUAAACAAAUUGAAUUCGAAUAUAAUAAAUUUGAAUAUAAUUCAUUUAUAAUUUGAUUUAAGUUCAAUUUGCUUAUUCCUUUUGCUACCUUUAGAAGAAACGCAUCGGAGUUUAUUGAGUCAAAUAAUUUUUUUUUUUUUUAAUUUUUGAGGUGUAUGGGCCGAACUCAGGGCUUUUGAAUGGAAGCUCAGGUUUGUGCUCGGCUCAAUGUGGGUUCGGCACACUUGAAGCCCGAGCUCGGACCCUCGUAGACCGGGCUAGAAGCCCAGGUAGCUCGGGCCCCGGUAACCCAGGCGGUGAAUGAGAUUUUUGCUAAAAUUUUCAAUUUAGUGAGAAUUUUCUGAAACUCGAUCAUCUGGUUGAAUUGAAAGGUUUAAUGGCUAAGGCAUCCGUAUGAUGUUUUCUGAUUGAAUUUUGUCCAAUCAUUGAUAAAAUACACAAAGUCACCAAUAAUAACUAAUUCGAAACGACGCCGUAAAGAAGUGUUUUCCCUGGUAAUAGAAAGUUCAACAAAGGGAAUCGCUGGUGACAACUCUCACUCAACCGAAAAUGUCAUGGCUUGCUAGAUCCAUCGCCAACUCGCUUAAGCUUGACGAUGACGACUACGAAGAAGGACACUCACCUAUGAGCAACACCACCACUGCUCCAAAUCAAGAUCGAAAUCAAAAUCAGUCAACGGCCGACUCUCCACGCGGCGUCAAAGAGGACCUGACGGAGCUCACGAAGUCCUUCUCGCGCCAACUAUGGGGCGUCGCCUCCUUCCUAGCUCCUCCCCCGGAGCCGCAAGAACAUCAAACUCAAAUUCGCGAUCAACGCCAGCAGUUCGAUGAAUCUGACCAGCAACCUCAAAUUAGCGAUCAACGCCAGCAGUCCGAUGAAUCUGACCAGCAACCUCAAAUUAGCGAUCGACACGAUCCGGAAGUCUCUGACGAGGCCUUGAUUGAAGGAAUCAAAAGCGAUUUCGCCGAGAUUGGUGGCAAAUUCAAGACCGGAAUCUCGAAAUUGUCGAAUAAUAUUUCUGUUUCGGAGAUCACGAAAAUGGCAUCUAAUUUUCUGCAGUUUGGAUCGGAGGCUGACCCGAUCGAUGCUGUUGGUGUUACUGAAGAAGUGUUGAUGUUUGCUAGAAACAUAUCGCUGCAUCCUGAGACUUGGAUCGAUUUUCCUGUUCCCGACGAUGACGAUUUUGAUGGUUUGUUAUUUCUCUAUCAAUGUGAUCUUAUUAUAUCGUAAUUUUGCUUUUUUGAAAGUAUUAUACUAUUUCAUUCUUUAAUGUAUUUAUGAUUUUGCUUGUGAUAUUAAGGGCUCCAAAUGUAACCAAUGAAAAUGUAUUUUCAAGAGUUUUAGGCGUUUAUUAUCCCUUCUAAGGUGUGUUGUCUUUGGAUUCCCACUCGUAUGCGAUCUGUGAAGCUUGAAAUUCCUUAAGCACAAAUGAAAUUCUAUUAUCAUUUUGAUAGAAAUCUGGUCAAUUAUCAUGGCCAAAUUUGUUUUCCUUUGUUGUUUCUCUUUUACGAGAUCUAUGCCUGACAUUAUUACGUUCUGAACUUUUUCUUUCUAUGCUCAUUUAUACUCAUAUGCCAAGGGCUUAAUAUUCUAAAUGCAAACAGUGCAUCAAACAAGAGUUUUGUUGCUUUUGGCACCUGAGAAACUGAUUUGUUUUAUAAAGAAUCCUUUUGGUUGGGUUAGGUACAAGAGCCACUCUAUUUUCAUUGUGCAUGUCUUUUUCUUUUCCAAGUAAAGCAGUCAUCCUGACAUCAGUUGUGUUUAAUUUGUUUUUUUCAGAUUUUGACAUGUCUGAUGCUCAGCAAGAACAUGCUUUGGCUGUUGAACGUCUUACACCAACAUUAGCUGCUCUCAGGAUGGAACUUUGCCCAGGGUAUAUGAGUGAAAGUUGCUUUUGGAAGAUCUAUUUCGUACUUUUGCGCCCUAGACUCAGUAAAGAGGAUGCUGAAAUUUUGUCAACUCCCCAAGUAAGUUGUUUUGUUGAUACAUUGUUUUGUAUUUCUUUCUUUUAAAAAUCAUUCAAUAUCUGUUGGAUCCAGAGAUGCUCAACUCAUCGGUUUGUUCUGGACUUCUAUAUUACCUACAUUCGAUGUCUGAAGGCAGUUUUGAAUUCAUAUUCCUCUUUUGCUUGAAAUGAUAAGAGUGUUGAUGUUUUUGGGAAUUCUCUCUCACUUGUGAGAUGUUUCUGGAAUUGUUCCAUGAAAAAUUUGUGGUUCAUAUGGCUUCUACACCAGUUCACUGCUCCUCCCUUCUUUUUCCUUUUCCUUUUCCUUUUAUGGGUGGUAAAUAUUAUUAAUGAUUAUGCUGAUAUCUUAACAAUUUUUUAGCCAAAUAAAAUUGUAGGCAACUAAAAUGUUGUAAAAUACAUGGUAUUGAAUUGCAAAAGUACAGUUUUCCUAACAAAACAUGUAGAGCCUUUGUGAAAACUUGACAUGAAUGUCAGCUAACUACAUUCUUUCUGUAUCUGUUCUGAUGUUUUUCCAUUUUAUUUUGAGCUUAUGUUGCCGGUCAUUUCUAAUAGAUGACUGUGAAUGCCUGUAGAUACUGGAGGCCAGAGCAAUGUUGGCGCAAGACCUGCAGAACAGAGCCAAGUCAAAGCCUGAAUCAGUUAAUUCUGAAGUGCCAUCUGGUUCCUACAAAACUGAUGAAAGUGGUGCUUCUUGUUUGGGUGAAACUGCUGAGUUACCCGAGAAAGAUUGCCAUACUGUGCCGUGUCCUGUGCAGUCUGAAUCGGUGCAGAAAUCUGCCACUGAUGGAGACCCUUAUAUUGUAGCAAUUGAUUUUGAAACAGACAAGCACCCAGUUCAAAGUACUGAGGUGCAGGUUGUUGACAAGACUGUUGUCAAGGAAGAGACAGUGGACCUGGCCAAACAUCAAUAUUCACUCUCUGGUUCCUCUGUUGGAGUUGAAGAGAAAUUUGAGGAUGAUGGCGAUGAUUGGUUGAAAGAGGAAAGUUCAGAAACAGUUGGAAUGAGUGGUUCCACAAUGCAUCUGGAAAAUGACGAGGACGUAUCAUUCAGUGAUCUUGAGGAAGAAGACGGGGAUGUGCCUAUAAGUUAUAAGAAAGUGACAUCUGGUUCUGAUUCUUCAGCAAAAGACUCACGGGACUGGGUUCAACUUAGCAGGAGCUCCUCUGAUGCAGUAAAGGAUAUUAAGUCAGUAGGUGUCAACCCCACUGCUGCUCAUCAGGGAAGCGCUCGCAAUCCUGAGUCCAAGGAAUCCAAUGAUUGGCUUGAUGUUGAUGAUAUUGAUGAGAUGUGAUAAUGCCAUACACGCCUUCUUGGUUGUCUAUCAAUUGUUCUUUCGAACUUGUUAAAUGUUAAUAGCCUGCAUAUGGUUUCUCCAGUCCAAGUUAGGCUUUGGUUGCUAUAUGCUUGUACAUAAAAACAUAAAACUCUUAUCAAAAUUGAAUAAUGAUAUGCAAACGAACUAUGCCCUUGUUUUGUUUGUUUUUUCGCAUUCUAUUAUUUGAAUUUUAUGUGCGAACAAUUCAGCACAUUGCAUGAGAUCCCAUUUUAAUUCGAUCCGGCAAUUGCAUACUGUUAUUUUAAAAUCGUUGGGAGAGAAUUGAAGCACUAGAAACAGGCAAUAAUAUGGCGACUUUGAAGCUGAAAUAUUAACCGAAUGAAAGGGUUAUUUAUAUUCUAAAGAUUAAUUUAAACAUUCUAUUACUCUUUACAGUCAUGUAUUAAAUUUAAAAUAUUAAAUUUUAUUUUGUGCACUUAGAAAUUUAAGAAAAAAUCCUUAUUUAAAUUAAUUAUUUUUAUUACUAAAAACACCAAUAAAAUAACACAACGUGCCCAAAGAAAUUUUUUAAAGAUAUUUAGCAUAUAUAUAUAUACUUACAACAAUGGCCAAACAAAAAUUUUUAAAUGCAAUUUUAAGAUAAUUAAUUUUCGUUGAAUUUAACAAAUGAGUUCAUUAUUGAAAUAACUUGCAGUAUUGAUUUUGCCCAAGGAAAAAAACAACGAAAAGAAAAUUCGUGAACAUGACACCGAGAAGAAGAAAGAAAAAGAAGUUGAAUAGGUUCAAGAUCUUUCUUUUUUUUCAUUUUUUGGGUGAAAUAAAAAGGCAAAAAUUGUACUUUUAAUUUUUAAUUAUUUAUAUUUACGGUACUUUUAUUCAUUUUAGUUUUUUGAAAAAUAAAAAACAUCACUCAGUUAUAGUUAAAAUCUUUUAAAUUUUGUUUCAAAUGUUGAAAAUAAAUGUUCAUUGUUUAAAACAAGAGAAUUACAUUUAGAAUAAUAGGUGUUAUAUGAAUUUUCAUAGCAAUUAGGUUAUAUUAGUUCAUAAUAUAUACUCUUAAUGGUAAUUCAUAUGAUAGGUAGUUUUAAUUUUAUUAAAAUAAGGUUGUUCAGAGUAUAUACGUAUGUCCUGCAUUCACAAGAAUUUUCAAAUGAUUCGUGAUUCAACGAACUUUCAAUAAAAAAAGUAUAUUGUGUACGGGUAAUAAAACAUGUCAUGAACAAGGAAUACCAUUUCAUAGAAGUCCUAAGAGAAUGUAGCUUCCGUAGAUACAACGCAAUUUGAGUUGUUUUCUACAAUGAGGCAUAUUAUAUGCCCUUUGUAAACACAAAACCACAUCCAUUCAAGAAUCCAUAUCUUCUUCCAUCACAGAAAACCUCUCAGUUUCAAAAACAUGAUGCAUCCAAACAGGUUCCAGCAACACCUUUGCAUCAAGCAAUUUCUGUCUUUCACCUUCUUGACUUUGUUCUUCAAUUUCUUUCUCGAUCCGAGGAUAUAUGUCAGGCAGAGAGACCAACAUUGCAUCAAGACCAUUCCACUCCCUAUUAUCUGUUCCUAUUAACUUCACACAAACAAAGUGUACAAGUCCCAGAAACAAACCAAAGUCCUUCCUUUCCAGCCCAACCACUGAGCCAGUCAAGAAAACAACCCCAACUGCAUCCAAUAUACAAGGCUUUCCUUUCAGCAAUGGUAUUAUCAGUUCCAUAAAUUUCUUAAACUCAGGAAAUUCCUCUUGUUUAGAAAUCCUGCCAUUGUCCUCGUCUGAAUUCACUUUACUUAUUUCAUCAAGCUCAGUCCUUGCCAAAAUUAAGAGCCACCAUGGAAAAUGGACUUUGAAGUGAUCAGAUGCAGUAAAAUGCACCCCUCCUGCCCGACUCUGAUAAAAUAUACACCCAGAUCCUAGAGCCAGGAUCAGAUCAAGCAGCCAAGCCUUUGCUACUACAACAAGACGUGCAGCAUAACCAGAAUCCAUGUGCAGUUCAACUGAGCAUAUUAGGUUGAUCAGUUCAUUAACAAGAUCAAAAGCUUCUGCGGGGGGUGGAGAAGCUUCACUGCUAUCUCUAAGGCACAGAUUGAUUAACUUGGCAGCAUAGCUGAAGGAGCUCUUCAGAGAGAUAAAAGUUUCUUUUAAGUCAUUGUAGUUGAACAGCAAGUUAUCUCUAGAUUGUUGCCCUAAGGCAGAUAUGACAUACUGUACAUAAGCUGUAGUAAACUUGGCACAACCUCCUCGGAUGUGAGAAAGAAAACCCAACGCUGUGGAAUCAACUAUGAACUUGAGAACUGCAGUUAGCAUGUUCACCUUCUUUGAUGUAAUUUUUUGUCCAGUACAGACAAAUCCUGCAUAAAUGUCAAAGAAUUAUUGCUUUGAGCUAUAAGAAUGAAAAAGGCUGAGGAACAGAAAAUGUGGAACUUUUCUAGCAAGAUGAUUUGAGCUAAUAAUUAUGGGUGCACAAUUGCUCUAAACUGAAGCAGUCAGAGAAUUGGAAUGUUAAUCAGAUGAACCCUUUAGCACCAAGGUCCUAAAUAUGGUAAAACUAUAAUCUCUUUAGCAUCAAAAUAGAUGGUCUCUCCUGGCUUAUCUUUUUAAAAGAAUACAGCAAAAUUGGUAUCCUCAAGUGGACUAAUAAGACAUUUAAACAAAUGCAAAAUUAUCUUAGGUAUCCUCAAGUGGAAUAAUAUGAUAUUUUAAACAAAUGCAAAAUUAUCUUUUCUAGAUCAAGUAAAUUUUGACAAAGUAAGCUACCUCUGUAGCUUAGCCUUCUAGUUGUGAAACAAAAGCAUGGUCUCUUGUCAAAGCAAAAUAAUGAUAGUCCACAAUAUAUACUAUCAGGAGAACCACAGACAAUUAAGCCAAUAGAUAUUCUAGAGAAGCAUGCGCAGAUUUAAUGCAUCUUUAUAUGACCAUUCCAGCGACCCUGAGAAUAACAUGUUUAUUACUUCUCUAUAUAUGAGUGCCACCAGCGCUUUCAAGAAGUUUACAACACAAACUCUGGUGUAACAGAAAGUGUCGGACAACCACCAACAGAUAUGUGUAUCAGUCUUCAACGAAAAACCUGUCUAGUGUAUCAAUACAAAUACAUGUUAUCUACAAAUUUAACUUUAGCCAUCUUCGGAAGAAGUGAAAUUAAGGAUAUUUCCUUUCAGCAUCAAGUCAAUAUCAAACCUAGGCAUCAACAGCUCUUCUCAGUAGAUUACAUGAAACAACUUGAGUGCUUACCCAUGUAAGCAUGCAUUUGGAUGAUCUGUGAACUUUUUCUAUAUCACUUACCAUUGUCAUUAGAACUGGAGGCUUCCUUCUGAAGUUCUCUGACUUUGUGCCCACGACCUUGACGCAUAUUGCUUUUGUCAUGCUUAGAGCCUGGAGAUAAUUUGCUAGGGUUUCCAGAAUCACCGCCAAGCAACUCAUCUGUACAGCUAAGCAGGUGAACCAUUGCCUGGUCUAUCACUGUCUGCAAAAAUGAUAAAAAAAAAAGACAGAAAACUGACAGUUCUUCAUAUCAGCAUUCCUCAAAACCAAACUUAAAGCUGAAGUUUCAGCAAACAAAAGAGUAGUUGCCGUUUCAAAGCAGAGCUUCUUAGAAGGAUCAAACCCUUGACCUAGUAUGAAUUUCUACCAGCUUUCAAUGCUAAUUUUGACUAUACUCAAAACUGCAAGUAUCAAAAUGAUUCUGGUUAACAUGGAAUUGAGAGACCAGCUAUAAUGAUGGCGUCAACUAUUUUCUAUUUUUGGAUUUUAAAAAAGGCAGUAACAAGUAGAAAGCAAAGAGAAACAUAUGACUAAGAAUGUUAAAAUAUUGACCCAGCCUAAUCAAGCAUCAAGCAGGAUUGACACAAGACCAAUAUUAGCUACCAGUAGCUUGGCCAAUGUUGAAUUGGUCGUCAGCUUUCUAUGAGAGUCAUAACGAGCUAAUGACCAUAACAUCAACAUAAGACCAGGUACUUUGGCAUUUUCAAAAUUCAAUUAGAACUAGGUCCAAAACACAGUCAAGAUAAUUUGAAAAUGGUCCCCAGAUAAAAGAUAUUUCAGAGUAGCAUGCAAAUUGUUAGCAUUUCAAAUGGUGCAUUUCAAAAAGAUAUGUUGCUUUGUAGUGAUUUUUCCUUGAAGCAGAGCUUUUAAAACUUGGCAAACAUUUUUUCUUACAGAUAUCUAAUUAAUAUAACAAACAAACAUGCAAUUUCAGUAAGAGCAAAUCUUUAGAAAAGUAAUAAAAGCAAUUUCACAAAAGAAUCUUCAAAAAAUGAUGGAGCAAAAUGAAAAAUAAAACAACUAAAAUAUUGAUUCUACCUUGUAUUGCAAAGACUGGAAUUCAAGUGAAAAACAGCUAAAAGAAUAAAACUUGCCUCUGAACUGGAUCUUGUAGAUUCAGUCCUAUCAUCCUUCUUGGAACCAGAACCACUUGGUCUACUUAUCCCAAUAUUUUGAAGUGUCAAUUCAAGAGCAAGAGCUGUAUAAGCUAAAACAGGAUAUACAUCCAUGUAAUCGCAAUACAUGCAAUGUAGAAUGCUGACCUCAGAAAUGACUUUUAAAGCAAGAAAUAACAAUUCUAGAUGUUGAGACCCCAACACGGCCUUCCUGGAGUCCUCAGAUGUAAGCAAGUCUUUUACUUGCCAGGCUAUUCCCACAGCAAUCGAAUAAUCCUCCUCAAAACUGGAUGCCUUUUUUCCACUUGCAUAUUUCCACUUACCUGAAAUUUUCACUGCAGACUUAGGUUUCUUUCUUUUUACAGAAGAAACAUUAUGCUUGGGUAUUUCAGUGCCAAAUUUAACAUGGCAUCGAUACACUGCUUUUUGCAAAAGCAUGGUUAGAGCUUCAAGCAUAUCAUCAAAGGCACAAGAAGACAGCAAUAACUUGUGGGCAGACCUCACUUCAGCUUGCCUCUCCUCAUCUUCUGAUAAACCCUUGCAUUUACUGAUUAGCCCCAUGCAUUGUUCAAGAAGCCCAACCACAUUGUCCGGGGAAACUGUGGAAACAAUUUCAAAUACAGAAGAUCGAGCACGCCCAGUAGAUGCAGCAGCAAACAAGCUCUUCACUUUAUCAUUGGCAAACAACUCUUUAAGGGCAUUCUUGUAACAUUGCUCACGAGCUAUGUCCUUGCAAAGGUAGGAAACAGCAGCUAGUAAUCCUUCAAUCUGAUCUUCAUCCAGCUUAUCAUGGGACAAGACCAAUCUGAUGAAUACUGUGACAAGUUCCACAAGAGAUUCAAGUGGUGCCCCUUCUGAUACAGCAAAUUCACAGAACCUUGCACCAGCCACAGGAGACCUUUUCACAAUUGUCACACAACGACUGCAUGCCUCUUUGAUAUUCACUUUCAGAGGAAAGUAUGAUGGCAUUAGUAGUCUUGUGAUUUUCUGAGCAACCUGAGAUUGAUCGUUUGCAAGAGCAGAUAGUAAUAUAUCUAAUCCCACCACCUGCAGAAAAGUACAAAAUCUAAAUUUCAAAUAACCCACAUAGGAAAGGUCAUAAAAAAUAGCAACUGGUGAUGCACAUCAAAAUUUCAAAAUUUUGAUACCAUAUACCUUAUUAAACUGGAAAGUUCGAAUAUCACGUAGCAGAAGAAGAAGAUCUGCCAUAGCAAGUCGGACUGAAAGGACGUUAUCCUGCAUCAGAUGCCCCAACCUUGGUAGAAGCACUUUAAGAACUUCAUGUGAGAGAGGGUUGCCUAGCAAAUAAAUGAUGCCAUUCACUGUGGCAAGUCUAACCUCAUUGCAUAGAUCAUGUGAAUUGUCAUCAAAAAUUUUUGUGAUUAUCUUCGUAAUUGUUGCUGAAGGAAUAAGUUCCCAAAAUAAAUGAAGGAUUCGGCAACACCCUUCCACUGCAACAACUCUCACAUCUGGACAAUCAUCCGUGAGUAACUUUUCUAACAAAAAGAACUGCUUAUCAAAUAAUGUAUCUUUAACCUCUUUUGUGGCAUCAGGAUCUUCAAGAGGGAACAAGUCCAAAAGUAAAUGCAAUGCAUUUUGACGAACAUUUGAAUUCGCAGCCUGCAGGAAGAACCAAUCAAGCUCAUCCAUUUUGGUCUAUAUUUAAAUGAAAAAUGUUUCUGAGCCUCCAGAUUCUUUGAGAUUUUUAAUCCAAAGUAACCUAAGAAGCUUUCAAACAAUUACAGGAACAACAAAGAACCUCCAGUUGUAGUAGCUUAACAGAACAAAAGCAUUCAAAUACCUCUGCGUUACACGGUUUUUGAUAGAAAAUAGCCUUAUUCUUCAAUUUGACCACAAGAAUAAGACAUCAAGGGGCCUCAGUUUCCAAAUAUUUACAUUACUUUGCCACAGGGAUUACAUGGAAUCAUUUGCCUAAAUCCAUGCAGAUGUAUUAGAUGAAAAAGAAUACACAAUAGUAAAUCUUUUAAGUCACAAUGGUGUCAUUAAUCAACAAAAUUGCUGGCUUGUAAUAGUGACUUCAUCAGCAGUUGUAAACCCUUCCUAAUUCCUAUAUGGAACUUACUUUGACUUAACAACACACAACAGCCAGAGCAGUCAUAAACAACUAACUUAGUCAAACAAUCUCAGUAAAUCAAAGAAUAAAAGAUGUUAACGUCAAACAAACAAUAAGAAAGAUAAACAUCACACCAUCUUAAGCAAAACAAUUCAACAAAUACUUUUGUCUUCAAAACCAAAUUACUAAUGCAAAAACCACAAACCUGAAGUGAUCGAAACAUCACUGGCUCAGUUAAAUUAAAAAGCAUCUUCUCAACACCAGGAGUGGUCCUCUGAUUUACAAACCCACCCAAAACCCUUCUAAUAGAAGCUGCAAAUGCCCUAGAACUUGCAUGUAUAGCCCCCUCAAUCAAAACCUGCAAAAAGCCACUUUCAACAUCCUCUCUAAAACCCUCUUCAACCCCUUUCCAAGCUCUGUACAAGACAUCCCCAUACGCCUCCAACAUCGACUUUCUCUCAAAAGAAAUCUGGGACUUAAUCAUCGCCAAAACGUCUUUCAACAUUGGCUUACUCAAUCCAAACAAAAAGGCUAGAAAUUUCCUCCCGUCCUCGGUUUUCAAAUAAAGUGGUGAUAUCACACAACGAAUUAGCAACAAUUUUAAAUCCUCAAUACUAUUAUCAUCAAAAUCAAACAAAGCAAACGCAUCACGGAAACUAUACACUCUAUGGACAUCAACUUUCUUCUUCAAAGUCAGAGACCUCGAAACCAAAAAGGGUAAAAACUGUGAAAUCAACAUUUCUUUACCUCCCAAGUCGUUUUUCCACCAGCUCUCGCAUAAACUCGCAAUCUCAAAAGAUAAAACCGAAUCCGACUCAAAAAGAAUCAGAUUGUUGUGCAGUAGCUGUACAGCUGGCAACAAGUCUGAUGACGAAAAGACCUUUCUUGGAUGCGUAGUACAUAAAUAAGCCACGUGAGAAAAUAUCUGCAAGUCUUCGAGAACUUUCUGUUUCCUUUCAGCUGCAUAAUUCUCGUUAGCAUUGUCAAUAGAACUCGAGGAUUUUGCGUUUCUGGAAUAUCUACGGCACCGUUUUGUGGGCGGCGAUUUGGCGUGGCCAGGAAUUGAAUCGUUCUGUAGGGUUUCGAUGGCGUUAGAGAUCGAGUUGCACAGAGAGUGAGGGAGAGAGGUGACUAGAUUUGAGGAACUGGUGAUUGAAUUAAUUAGGGUUUUCAGGACUUGUUUCGAGGAUUUGAAAUUUUGUUUUGUGGCUGAUAUUAGGAAUUCUUCGGCUGACGACUGGAGUGAGGAACGAAGCCGCUUCUCCAUAUCAUACGCUUAAGUCUUAACGCUUUUGCUGAUUCUCUAAUUUGCUUCGAUUACAGAACACUCCUGGGAUUUAGAAAGGGGUGCGGGAACUGGGGAGGGAAAACGAACCGUUUGUGUUUUUUCAAAAAAUAAAAAAUUGACGAUAAUAGGGUGACGGGUUGUGACGAAAGUUGAGAUGACGGGCCAAAUAUACAUGAGGUCAAAGACGUCCGACUCUGGGAAGUUUUUGUAUUAACGAAAAUGAUUGGUUUGUCUUCGGAACUUAAAAUCCCUUCGGUGUAACUUUGAAUGGUUUAAAAUUUUCAAAUGGGUUUUUUGGCGCUGAAUUUCAGCCUUUCGGAUAUCGCCCAGCCUUUUUCACCCUGAUAAAUAGCCAUUAGCCAGCCCAACCAAGUCAGGUGGACCCUCUUUGACAGCGACUCGGCAAUUAAACAGCGACUUAUGCACGUUUACAAAUGUCCUUUUAUGGAAUUUAAGUGUAUAAAAGUGUUCAGUAAACAAUUAUGGUUACAGUUUAAAAAUUAAAUUAUUUUAAUUUUACACUUAUUUGAUAAAAAAUUUAUUAUAUAUUUAUUAAGUUUACUGCUGUACGGCCAAGGCGGAUGUACGGUACAGCAGACUUUGAAUGGUUUAAAAUUUUCAAAUGGGUUUUUUGGCGCUGAAUUUCAGCCUUUCGGAUAUCGCCCAGCCUUUUUCACCCUGAUAAAUAGCCAUUAGCCAGCCCAACCAAGUCAGGUGGACCCUCUUUGACAGCGACUCGGCAAUUAAACAGCGACUUAUGCACGUUUACAAAUGUCCUUUUAUGGAAUUUAAGUGUAUAAAAGUGUUCAGUAAACAAUUAUGGUUACAGUUUAAAAAUUAAAUUAUUUUAAUUUUACACUUAUUUGAUAAAAAAUUUAUUAUAUAUUUAUUAAGUUUAUUAAAAUUAUUAUUUAAAAAUUAUAUUUAUUGUAUAUUAUUAAUUUUUAUUCUAUAAUUAUAUUUUUUUUUAUACAGCUUAAAACUACAACAAUUCAUUAUUAUGACAACACUAAUGUACACUCUUUUCAAUAAAUAUAAAAAUACCUUACAAAUUGGCUUCCCUCCUAAUCUAAAGUGCCGAUAAUUUUUUUUUUUUGUCUAAAAUCUAAAUAAACGUGAAUUACUAUGUAUUUUGAAUAGUCUAUCUGAAUCUAAAUAACAUAUUUAUUUUUUUAGCUUAAUCUCUUAAAAUAAAUACUAAAUUGUUUGUUGUUUUAACUUUAAAAAAACUAAAUAUUUAUAUUUUCAAAUUUUAAAAUCUAAAAGUAUAUAGAAUAUAAAUUAGAAAACGAUAGAUCACUUCCUAACCAUAACAGGCCUAAACUCAAAAUCACAGUUUAAAUCUAAUUUAGUAACAAAAAGGUUUUAUACAUAUAGAUUAUAUAAUUACAUUAAAAAACUUAAGGACAAUACCUCUGAUUACUGAUAAUGGAAAAUUUAAGAACUUGAUAAAUGAAGCAACUCAGUAAAAUGAGGAGGAAAUUGGCUGGAGAACAAAAAAAAAAAAAGCAAAGAUGAGUUUAUAUUAGCUAGAUAGACGCGUGUGAAAUUUGGGGGUAAGUAUAGAAAACAAAUAAUAAAUUAUGGAUAUUUUUGACAUAGAAUUUAGUUAAUUGAUUCGGAUCUUUUUCAUUCAGUAAAAAACUAUAAAAAAGAAAAACUUAUUUUAUGCAACCAAAAGUAUCUGAAAAUUCUCAUUAAGUUAUAAAAACAAACAUCUCUAAUUUACUUAAUUAAUUAAGUCAAGUCACAUUAAGUAAUUAAUUUAAAAAAAAAGCCUCCUAAUUUACUUUUAAUUUCAAAAAAUAAUAAUAACAAAAAUAUGAUAUAUUGCCAUUAUAAAACCAAGUGAUUAGGAUUUUGUUCAUUUACUAUUGUUAUGGUUUUUAGGUUAUCUUUUUUUUUUUUUUGUUGGACUUGAAAUAUACUAUAUUAAUAAAAGAUAAAAAGAAAAAAUUACACCAAAUUAAGGAGGGUAGAAUAAACUUUACCCUGGAUUAAUGCAUUGAAUUAUUACAAUGAAGAACCCUAAAUCAAAUUAUGGUAAAAAUUUAUGUAAGGGUAUAAACAAAAGAUAGGAAAAAAAAAAAAAAGGAACAGAGGAAUCAUCUCAGUUAAGACGGUCCUAAAAAUCAUGAUGAACGUUCGAACACAAUUUUGCUUACCUAAACAACAAUUAUCUUCAUUCUGUAGAUUGAGCAAGACUAGUCUUCAUGUCUUGCCACAAUGCACAACCAUUUCCCGACAGACACGUCGCACAUCAAAUUUCAGGUAAAUAAAUAUAACUCAUUAUUGAAGACCAGAUGAAAGCAACAACAGAGCUAACACCUAAUCAUCAUCUUAUCUUCUCUUAAGAAUUCUAGCUAGGUUAGGAAAUACAAAACCAAGCAUGAUCUCCUACCUAUGCUUUUGCCAGGGACUACCUUAUUUGCUAGACAGUUUCAACGCCCAUACGCUACUGCUGAAAAAGAGGCAAUUCGUGUUCGCUAGAAAAAUAAACGGUGCCCCAUACAAGCACCAAGAAUACUUAACUGGAGACCAAACUACAAUGUCGUACUAUGCCAGACUGGAUAUCCUAAGAACCCCAUGAAGGCAUGUGGAAUGGUGGAGCCUCUGACAUCAGCUUGCCAUGAACAGCAGGCCCCUAUCCUGCAAUUCCACCCCAAAACAAAGGUCUGUAGCUCCAUGAUAAUAGGUUGGGUCCUACAACACCAAUCAAAGGCAGCAAAAUAUCUUCAGCAUUCACGUGUAUUGGUAAAAACAAUGGCAUGGGGUGCAUUAGGUAGCAACUUUCAGAAAGGUUGUGCCUUCAAUUACCACGAGAAUGUUGAUUUAUGACGGCUUAAUUCAGAUAAUAAUUGCUUCUAAUCAAACGUCCAAACCUCAGAUUAUCUUAAGUACACUAUAAUCAGCAGAGUAGGACGCUCCUUGAUUUCCAAAAGGAUAUUUGGGGCUUUAUGACCCCCACUUUAACACAGAGCAACAACAACAGUUAAAAGGGAGCUUCCCACUCAGCAAUAGAAGCCUCCAAUAUUCCAGGCAAAUCUAAAUCACAUUCACCUUUAUUUACUUUUCCAUGGCCCAAAUGCAAUACUGAUGUAUCAAAUCAAACAAAAACAAUUCUUCAUUCCUCAUGGCUUUCUGCCUUUCGAAAGACAUAGGAAGCAUCCCAAACCCCUCAUCAAAAUGUGGGGUUAAAAGUGAUGUAUACAUUAAAAUAUAUAUAUAUAUAUAUAUAUGGCAUGUCCCAACAAUAAUAAAAGUAGAAUAAAAGCAAUACAACAAACUGAAAAAAGAAAGUGGGUGAGAUAGCAGCAUUCAUCAAAGCAAAGUAGCAAACACAACAAAGAAAUACUGUUGAUAAAUAGUCUUCAAUGGCAUUCCUGCACUCUCUCCGCCACUCUUCCCUCUUGAUGGCUUUUGGACGUCAGUCAGCUUCCUGCUCCUUACUGUAGCUAAAGCUAUCCUUUUUUAUUUAUUUACUUUUCCUUUUCUCUAUCUUCUUCGUUGUCAAUGGCUGAAACUUUUGUUUGGUAUUGGAAAAUAAAAACCCCGGUUAUAAACUCCAAAUCAUACCAGAAGAUGGUAGAUAACACUCAAAGUACCUAUAAUUAAUCUAACAGCAAGAAUCAAUUUCCAGCAAAAAAAGGCCUAUAUCCAAUCAAUAAACCGAAAUAUCAAAUUCCCCCAACUAUGGACCACAAAAUUUCUUUGGUAGACAAUUCCGAGCAUAACCAUUGAAUGUGAGUCUUCUUUUAGUGCCAGCUCCGGAGGUGAGAGUAGAAUUCUUUAAAACAUCAAUUGAGCUAGUUGAUGAUAAGCUGUGGGAAAUCACCGAAUUGGGCGUGUUUAGUUUUCCCAUCUCAAUCCCCUGCAUUAGACUGUAACAAGAAUAUAUAUGUUCCUGUAGAAGUGCAAUAAACUAUUAAAAUUAUAACACAUACAGUAUCCUAACUUGCUCUAUUAUGUAACUGAAAUAAGAAUGUGUCUCCUACAGAACUUGGGUUAGACGCAUUGAUUUAUUGAAAUAAGGAAGCUCACAAUUUCUGGAGAACCACACGAUGGGAAUACAUUCAUCUUGAGCUCGAUGGUUUCUCUUGUCAAUUGACCAUCAGAUGCAGCUAAAACUGCAGCUGCUGCAAUGGCAGAUGGUCGAUGAUUCAUCAAAUUAAUCACUGUACCAAAAGAUUAAACUGUAUAAAUACAAGCACAAAACAAUCGUUAAUCUAUUAAUAAUUAGUCAUUAUUAAUGCAGUUACCUUUUGUUAUAGUCAUAAUAAGUUCCACGGCUCUAGAGACUAAUUCUUUUGGUCUACAUUCACCGCAUAAUUUAAUCAUGAAGUAAUGCAGAAAAGCAAAAGGAGUGAUUGAACCCAUUUUCCAGUCCAAUGUACUCAAUACUAAUAGCUCCAUUCUCUGAAUCACCUUGUUCUCAAAAUCAAAAUCGUCCACUUGAAAUUCUGAUAAAGCUGGCACUUGGCAUUCCUCCAUCUUGGCUGCCAAUGAUAAACAUGCCACUGAUAGCAAUCGAAUAGCCCACAAUUUCCCAUCCUAUAUCAAAAUCAGUAAUGUCCAAAAUCAUUAUAACAUACUCAAGAAAGCAAACGUUUUAAACAAUCAUGUACAAAAUACAGAGGUGCUUACAUCAAUGGAUCGCUUUGAAAGAAACCGGUCAAGGAAAUCCACAGAAAGAUAAGCUGUGCGGAACUGGAACCCAAACAUAGCCCUUUUCUGGAUAAAAAAACCCAAUAACUCAAACUCGAAAUACAAAAAGAAGAAAUCACACGCAAUAAGGAAUAAAAAGGAGAGCUUUGAAAGAGAAACAAACGUUGAAUAUCCAUUCAAUGGCAUCCAAGCGAGCACAUUUGAGCCAGCUCUGGGUUCUAGUAGAACAAUCAUCAGAAAAGCCACAACCUUUGGAUCCAAAAUCAGUCUCUUUGUCAACCAACUUUUCUAUGAACUCUUCAUCCCCAUUUCCCAAAACAAAACAACAUGGGUCACAAUAAUAGCUCCCGUCACAGCUUUUCUCAUCUCCAGAUUCUUGACUCAAACAAGAUUCAUCCUCUUGACACAUAAGACUAGACACAGAAAAUGAACCAUCAUCAGAGUCUCCCAUUGUUGUUUUCUACUUCUCGUGAAUUUUUUUUUUCUUUUUUUUAAGGAAAAACUGAACAAUCAAACAACAAAACAAGACAUGGGUAUUUUAUUCUAAGGACUUAACUGCUAAAGACACGUUGCUAAAAUUAAGGAUGAAAUCGAGAGAGAGUUAAAGAACGAGUGAAAGAGUGGGUGACUGGGUGUGUGGUGAGAGUGAUAAAAGCAAAGCAGCAGCGCUUUUGGUGCCGCCAAAAUAAGCGGAUGAGAUAUAGUCAUAUAGAGAGGCGUUAUUUAGCGGUUUUAAGCUGCGAAGAAAAUAACAUUUUGGUACGUAAUUAUACAAGAAAUGUCCCCAAAUUUCCCCAUUUAAAAUUACAAUGGCUUCUAUAUUUAUUGUAUGCGUAUUAUUAUAUAGAAUAUUGAUGAAUUCCUUAAAUCACGACAGCUGUUGGGAUACUAUUACUUUAGGCAUUUAGUGUUUUUAUUUAUUUACUUGAGGCAUCAUUGAGAGGUAUUAUAUUACCCAACUAUUAACACUAUGCUGCAACAUAUGCAAAAUAUUUUCUUUUUGUAAUGUUUGUGAAUGGGGAUUUAUAUGUAUUUUCUUGUUUCUCAAAUCAAGAUCAUGUUUUGUUGCAAUCACAUCCAAAUCAAUUUUAGUGAAUGCGGGACUAGUCUUGGAAGUUAAAACAGUCGAUUUUGAGAUAUUACUUCCCCUACAAGAGACCUAACAGAGACUAAGCUACCUUACUAGAGUUGCGUCUUUUUUCUUUCCCCCCUCUGAUGUAUAUCUUUAUUUUGUUUAUUAAUAAAUCCAAAUUUCUGAUUAUUUGCAACUCAGUAGUACUCUUUUUUUUUUUUUUUACCCUUUUGGGGGGGACUUCAAGGUAAAUGACUGUUUGGAGUAGCAGAAAAACAAACCAUUUUUGUUCUGAAAAUUCACUUGUAAGAGGAUAUAGCAAAAACAUUUUCCAACACGGAGAGGCAGAUGUUUUCCUAAUUGUCUUGCCCCUUAGUUGUCAGUUGUUUCACAAAUUUUUUUUCCUUGAAUUCAUCUCGGGGCAUUAGCCUUCGUAGGUGUUUGACAGUUUGAUAAGAAUACUUGUCCCUCAUUUUCUAUCCUCUGUCAAACGGAAACCUAGGAUGUUGAGAAUAGUAACGUAUCUUUAUAAGCCAUUGCGACUCCACCCUGAGAUGUUUCUAACUUAUUAUACAGUUGGAUUUGCUUCAAUUACAUUCAAUUAGUUAAUUCAAUUUUGUAUUGAAGGGUCACAUGGAUAUAUAUAUAUUCCGAAAACUGGCUGCAAUGAAAUGCCAUCUCAGUUAGGCAUGAAUGGUCAAAAAAGGAAUACUGCCUCUUUCAGUCUAGGGUCUCAUUCACCAAAUUCCAAAAUAUAUAUAAGGUGAAUCCGACACGUGCGCGAAUGAUGCGCUUACAAUAUUUUUCUGCUCUUGUUUUUUCAGAAAUAUUUUAUAUGUACAGGGAUGUGGUCCUGCUUAUCAGCUAAGAUAGCAUGGCUUAGCAUUAUUCUGAAAUAAAACAAUAAAAAGAAGAUUAGUGCAAGUAAAUAACAAUGAUUGUGGGGACUGUUAAAGCAUCGACCCACAACUUUGAAAUAGAGGAAGAAAAGUGAAAUGAAAAUUGUAAAAAUUGAUGAUGAAUUGAUAGCAAACGUGAUUAUUAUUGCAGGGAGGAGCGUCUUCACGUGUGAAAAGGCUGGACCACUGCAGUCUGGCUUCAUCGAACGAGCAGCACGCAGACGCUCCUCUUCUAUCCCCCCCAAACCCAAAGUUGCCUUUGCCUUUCCCUUUCCCUUUCCCUUUGCCUUUGCCUUUGCCUUUGCCACCCCCACACGUCAUUAUAUUUUUUUAUAUUUAUAAUAUUACAUAUUGUCUACGACGUGCUGCCAUAAAUUAAUCAUACAAAUAAGUUAAUAAAUGAGUAUGUGCUACACACUACAGUGUACAGCUUGCAAGGUGUUAUUUAUGAAUGUGUGCUUAGGUCUUGGUGCAUUUGACUGAAAAUUUUGCAAGCCCGAGAUGGUCAGCCUCUGGCUUUGACUGUUUAUUGUGUUUCUGUUGUGCUGCUUGCAUUUGCAGAAUAAGCCGGGCAAGAUCAUGCGUCUAUAACCUUUCAGAAUCAGACUAAAAUCUACAUAUAUCAAUCGCCAUUGGCGUUUUGUUUAAUCAGAUUUCUUGUUUGUUCUUUCCUACCUGUUUGUUUCUCUGCAAAUGCCAACCAUUCUUGUUGUUUUCUAACUCUGCACCUGCACCUGCGCCCGUAGAAUUACUAUCUGGAGCACAGCUCCAGUGGAUAAAAUUACUCGUCACUACCACUGGUACCAAAUCUGAUAUUUUCAUUAUGGAUUUUCCACAAUACGAGCUCAUAAAGAAUAAUUUUUUUUAUCACAACAUAUAAGUUAAAUCACUAAGGGUCAUUUCGAAAUGCAAUAGCGUAACUAAAAAGCUCGAUGUGAAUCUUAAUCAUUAAUCAUAUAUUCAAGUUGGUUGGUAAUGACAUUGACAAACAUGGCCACUCGGGUAGGUGUAAUGUUGCUCUGCUCAGGAGUUUGUUUCAUUAUGUGAAACAUGCCAAUUUCAGGUAGUAAACAUGGAGUUUGCAUAUAGCCUACUAGUGGGAACAAAUGGCGCCAGCACGUUUUACUUGGACCUAGUUGUUUGGGUUAAGCUGAUGGGCCUACAUGUUUAGGGAUGGGAUUGACCCACGUUUGAUGAUAUUGUUGAGAAUGUCAAAUAAAACGGCAUUGAAUGAAAGUUAUUAAAAACACUAUUCGCACCAAAGGGCAUCAACACGGUUGGUGAAAAUCCGUCCGUAAUACAUGUUGAGAAUGUUUGAAAAAUUGUAACCCUUGCAUCUAUAAAUAUGCUCAAUGUUUAACGUUUUAUUUAAGAAAUGAAAAACUUAUUUCCUCAUAUAUGUGUUUGUGUGUGUGUACGUACAUAAAUGUAUAAACACACGAAAACACACUAAUUCACAAACCAAUGUCAAUUGUGGAGAGAGAAAAAAUAUACAGUAAGAGUAUAUAGAAGCAGAAUUAUUAAGCAAAUUAUUUUUCUGUACUGUAAAAAUAAUUAAAUACUGCGGACAUUAAAAAAAAAAAGUUCAGAAACAUUAAAGCAAAACAAAACUGCAAGAUCACGCAACACACUACGAUUAAGUAUUCUCCAUUGUCCAUUGCAUGGAAAUGCUCCAUUCCCCAUGUUCCUCUGCACACAGAUUCAAAAAUCACCGCACAAUACAGACAUCGUCUGACUCAAUUCAACGAAAUAUUUGUAUUAUGAUCUGAAGAUAACAUAAAAGCUUGCAUACUCAGAGAAGGUUUCCGCUACCUGGUAUAUGGAGUGCUGCUUCCUCAAUUCCUGUCUUGCUGGCAUCAGAGCUUGGAGACUUGAACAUCCUCUGCAUUAGAAAAUUAGAGAGAAUUGAGCGCAGUGUAGAAGCAUUACCACCUGUUUGAAUAAUCCAGUUCAAUCGAAACUAAAACAUAAUUCCUAACUCAAUCUCUUAUUGGAAUAACCAUAGGUACCCCCGAAAAUGGAAUAACAGUGCCGGUUAACUUUCUAUCUAAAAUUUCCUUCUUUUCUCGCUCUGAUGUCAUCUCAAGCACAUCGUGAAAAAUCUUAUUUUUAUACCCAACGAAGAUAGCAACUAAAAUGGCUAAGAAUUAGCUAUUAACAGGAUUAAAAAAGAAAAAAAGAAAAACAAUUGGCACAAUCCAAUUGUUUUGCCAAAUGAUAGUGCAUUGAGAGCUUGUUUUGAUACUUUUGCGAUAUUCAAAAAUGAUUAAAAUGAUUUUCAAAAGUAAAAGUUAAUUUUGGUGUUUGAUAAAAUCUUUUAGAAUUAAUUUUGGUAAAAUCACCUCAUUUUACAGUAAAUUUUGAAAAGUAGAGAAUGAGUAGUUUUUCAAAAUCUAAUUUUAGAAAUUAAUUUUAUAUUUAAUACAAUUCUACAUAUAUCCUUAUAUAUAUUAUAAAAAUACAAAAAAUAUCCUUAUUAAUUAGAAAAUAAAAUCAUUAAUUUUAAACAAAUUAUUAUUAUUACUACUACUACUUAUAUUGAGAUAAAAAAAUAAAAAAAUAAUUAUAAUAUAAAUUAUAAUUAUUAUAUGUACAAAGUAAACAAUAUUUUAUAUACAUGUUUUGGCAUUUUUAAAUAAAUUUUAUUUAGCGUUAUGUCUAAUACAAUCAUUUAUAUUCUUACAGCAGCUUAAUAGUAAGAUUUACUAAACACAUACGAUUAUUUUUAAAAUUUAUAACUCUUUUAAAAAUAAAAUUUUCCGAAACAUUUUAAUUGAUUCCUUCAAGACUGAUUAUUUUUACAGCAAAACUAAUAAUUAUUAUUUUAAAAGUUAAUGUAUUACCAAAUUGACCCUAAGUGGUGGUAGGCCCCCAAUAAAAAUUCUCUCCCCCCCCCCCUCUAUGCAUUUGUGCCUGAGUAUGUGUGUGUUAUCAAUAAUAAAACAUGUGUGCAUCACUAACAGAUAAAAAAAUACAAUCUCUAAUGUAUUUUUUGUAUUUUAAUAGUAUGUUAAAUUGAGAAUAUCUUCAUUAGAGAAAUAUAUAUAGAUAUAUAUAAACAUACUUAUAUAAAGUUGUUUAUGAAACAAUGAAAAAGACAAUUUAUAAUGCUACAAUCCAUUUAGAAUUUUAAGUAAAAUAUGGGAUUCUCGAACUUGAGAAUCGAAAUUUUUUCAAUCUAGGAUAAAAUUCUGGAAUGAGUUUGCAUUGUUAUAAAUAGACUUUUAGAACUUCCUAAGUUGUAAAACAAUGAAAAAACAGUUUACAAUUUUAAGGUUAACUCUACUUGGAAUUGACAUAUGCCUUUGCCGCCCACAUAAUUAUGGCGGGCAAUAAUUUUCUAGGCCAUUUUCAAGCAAACAUGUGAUUCACGUUGGGUUUGGUGGUUUGUGCUAACUGCCAAGGUUCAAAAUUGUAGCAAAUGGAUGCCAGACUGGCGAUGAAUCGACCUUUUUUCGUAGCAAUGUAUAAUAUUAAAUUUAGGAUCCCUAUGCAUGUAACAUACAUCUCUCUCACAUAAAUAAUGAAUGGACCCCACACAUGCACUGUUCAUGUGAGGGGAUGUAUCUUACAUGCAUGUAAGAUAGGAAUUGCCUUAAAUUUAUAGUGUGAUAAAUUACUUUGAACGUACUGUUUGUACAUUGAUUUAAAUCAUAUUUAAUAUCCAAGUUUUUUUCUUAAAAAUAGGUUUGCAGUAAUUUUAUUUGUAAUUUUGAAGGCAGUAACUAUGAUAGAGUUGGUCCACCAUAGAACAAUGCUUAUUGACCAUAGAUCAAAGUGAAAAAUAAUAAAAAUAAAUAAAUUGUACAUACAAUCGUGUGGUUAUCGUUUAGUAAGUUUGUUUUAUGGUGGAACAACUCCAUCGUAGCCGAUAAUGUGAUAAGUGAUGAUAAGAAUUUGCACGGGAUGCCAGACAGUAAUUAGCUGGAAAAACACAGUCGUGAUCGGCUGCUGAAACUACAAAACAAAACAAAAAAGUCAGCAACUCAGCAAUCAUUUCGUGUCGCGCUCUUGAAAAUAUCUUAAUAUCCGAACUGGCGAGGAUCUCGUCUCGCCCAUGACAUAGAUAGAUAGAGACCGUUAGGAUCGUUUGGGACGUUGAAGUUUUAGAUGAAAUAGCGCGAAACCGAGUGACGGCACGUAACUUUCUUUCUUUCUUUCUUUUUUUUGACAGAUAAAAUUACCAAAUGAGAAUCACAAUAAUUAUCGAAUUUAUUAACGGUUCUAAUGUGGCCAUGACUCAGCAUUGAGAACCGAUUUUUUUGGGAGCCGAAACCAAUGUCGAAUGGCAAAUAAAUAAUCAAUAAAGCUGUAAUGAAUUUGCAUAAGUUGUCCUUUUGUGUACCUCAACUAAACGAGCGACACCGACAUCAUUUGUGCCUAUCAAGACCCCAACUCUCUCUAUGUAUAUAUAUAUGUCUGCUGCUGAUGAUAGAUGCUUCUCAUUGGCUCAAAUUUUUGAUUUCAUUUGUCAGCGAAGCCGUUAUUUUUGAGCCGGGGAUUCUAAUUUCUAAGGGAAGGAAGUGAAACUAGCCCAGCUUCAAUUCCAAAAGGGCUGCUGCGCAUUAACGUGAAUCCUGUUUGUUUGUUUGUUUGUUUUUCCCCCUUGAAGAUCAAUAUAACAAAGGUAGGUGCUUCUGGGUGUCUAUCAUUUGCUUUUGAAUGUAAUGAUUUGGGUUGGAUUCUGAUUAUACAACCAUGAUUUCCCAUGCAUAUUAUGAUUUUUAUCGAUCUUUGAUUGAAAAGUUUGUUGGAAAUUAUUAUACACGUAAAUGCAAUCCUUUAUUGAAUCUAUCGGUCCUGAUCAUGACAAAUUUGUUCUAUUGUUGUUAUUAGAAUCCUGACAAUAGAACAAGAAACCAUGCUUCUGAAAAUGAUGAUUAUGGGAUGUUUUAGAGGCCCUUCGAGGGGCUUCAUUUGUUUCUUUCUCGACUUGCAUCAAGAAAAAAUGUCUAUAUUGGAUUAACACUGACAGAUGUUAAUGUUUGAGGAAGACAUCCAUAUCUUGAACACUUGGUUUUGUAAUUUCAUUGAUUUUUAAAGAUUUAAGCCAUUUCUGUUCAAAAAUUACUUUGGUAACUUCUGUCUCACAUGCUCUAUGUGUACAGAGAAAUUUGAGGCCUGGUCGGUCAUAGCCUCGGGCACCGAUAUCAAUUAUGGUCAGAUCUGAAGAACGGGCCAUUAUUGAUUUAUCAAGUUGGGAACGAAUUAUUAGGUUGUUGAUCGUUACAAUCUGAUGAUUCAAAAAUAUUGUUGCCUAACUGUUCUGAAUGCUUUGGAUCUAUCGUACACGUAUAUCUGCCACAUUCAUCCUCUUCCAAAUGUGGAGAAUUUUGUAUUAUGCAAAUUAUCAUCUGCAGAGGAUACAUAAUUAAUUUACUGAGCAUAAAACAAAUUCUAAGCAAAACUUAAAAGCAUUGUUGUCUCUUUAACAUGAUAUUGUAAUUUGUAAAUGAUUGUUUGGUUCUUUCUCAAAGCUUAAUCUUUUGCGACGAAUAGUUCCUUAACAUAGGAUCAGAAUCAGGUUGAUCAAAAGAUUCAAUGUAUAAAUCUCCCAUUCUGUUAAAUUAUAACACAGAAUUUGAAUUUGGAUAUUUAUGUGAUGGGGUGUGCUGACUGAUUAAAAAGACAACUUGAUAUAACCAUGGAUGCGUUCAAUAAUAAUAAUAAAUAAAUAUAUUUAACCGGGGAUGUAAGAGGCGUGUAAUGUGUUGAUUAACUUUGUCUGAAUAUAUAUGCUACAGAACUCUUUACAGUUCUUAUGCGCUGAUAUUGAGCCAAAAACUGAUGAUUUUCAUUGUGCUUUAAAUUUUUCAGAAAAGGAGCUUAAAACUUUAUAUGAAGAUGGAUGACGCUUACGAGGGGAGCCUUUCCAAGAGCGUUGCUCCAGCGGCACCUCCAUUACCUGGUCCAGCAACCAGUUAUCAUCAAAAGGGGCUCGUGAUGAAUGGAUUGCCUUUAAGAGGGUACAGCUGUGUAUCCACUGCAGCAAAGGAUUUGUGGGAGCGCCUCUUCGACUCGGGCUAUAAAGCAGACGUUACCAUUUAUACUGAUUACAAUGGCAUCAUCUAUGCACAUGCUAAUGUUCUUGUAAGUCUUGUUAUUCCAUCUUUGUUAAAUGAGAGUAAAAUUACAGUGAAUCUAAUCACACUAAUGUCUAAGUAUUGGAAUUCCUUUCCUUCCAUAGGAAUUAAAUAUAGACUUGCUUGUUAUCCGAACUGCAGGCCAAUGAUCUAAAUAACCAAAAAUCUUCCUUUUUGUCACUGCCGUUUUAAACCUUACAAACAAACGCAACAACAGUACAAAGCUUAUGAUAUAGAUGUAACUAACAAGAUGUUUGCUUCACUUCUGGGAUUGGGUUGUUAAACAGUCAGUGAUCUGACAGACACAAAAUCAAUUUGUUAGCAUCUAGGUAAUACCUUAAACACAUUAGUUUAUUCAUAAUGUUAAUUUUGUGAUUUUUGCCAACAGGGUAUGGCUUCUCCUGUGAUGAAAGGGAUGUUGAAUCAAUCAAAAGGUCAUGGGCGGUGGCGAUCUCUCUCCAUCCAUGGAGUCCCACAGGAUGCAGUUCGAGUUUUCAUAAGAUUCUUGUACUCGUCCUGGUAAUUAAAGCACACUUUUGCUGAACUAAUAGGGUUAAUAUAUUAAACUCACGCGAUACCAGAAAGACGUUUGCAACCAUGUAGAGGUCGCCUGUUUUUGUAGAGUUACCUAUGUGAAGAUAACCUCCAGAUAGCUAUGCUGUUGUUUCUGUUAUGUUGUGAAAAUUGCUCUACCAUUGUGCUGAUCGGUAUUGGUAUUUCAUUUGUAGUUCUGAGAAAGCAGAUAUGGAGGAUUAUGUGUUGCAUCUGUUGGUUCUAUCUCAUGUGUUUGUGGUUCCCCAGCUAAAGCGGGAGUGUGAGCGGCAGCUAGAGCAUGGUUUGCUGUCAACGGAGAAUGUAGUUGACAUCUUCCAGCUGGCAUUGUUGUGUGAUGCCCCUCGGCUUAGCCUCGUUUGCCAUCGCAUGAUCCUCAAGAACUUUAAGGUUGUUUCUGAUUCUGAAGGAUGGAAAGCCAUGAUGCAGAGCCAUCCGGUGCUUGAAAAAGAACUUGUGGAAUCUGUGCUGGAUGAAGAUCAUGUAAGCAUUUUCUUUUCUUUUUCGAUAUCAGAAACAGCUUGUUAUGUUAAUCCCUCUCCCACUGAUCUGAAUAUGUAUAUAUUUUCAGAAGCAAAAGGAGAGGAUUAGAAAGCUAAAGGAGAGAAAGAUCUAUUUGCAACUUUAUGAGGCCAUGGAAGCUCUUGUUCAUAUAUGUAGAGAUGGUUGCAAAACAAUUGGUCCACAUGAUAAAGAUUUCAAAGAGGACCAGGCACCUUGCAAUUAUACGGCUUGUAAGGGACUGGAAUUGCUUGUCCGCCAUUUUGCUGGUUGCAGGCUAAGAAUCCCCGGUAAAUGCAGCCACUGCAAGAGAAUGUGGCAGCUGUUGGAAUUGCACUCCAGACUCUGCGAUGAUUCAGAUGUUUGCAGGGUUCCUCUUUGCAGGUGAGCUUCCAAAAUGAUGGAAAUACAUCACGUAAUUAUCUAUAUGUGACGCUGCUUGAAACUUUCAACUAAUAUGUGGAAACUUUCAUUACAGGAAUUUCAAGGAGAGGAUUAAGAAGCAAAGCAAAAAGGAUGAAAUAAAGUGGAAGAAGCUUGUGGAAAAGAUGUUAAGAACAAAGAGAAUCGGAGGAGCCAAUUUUUUUUCUGAGGAACUGGCUAGCCCUUCAUGAUUCACUGUUAAUAGUCCUGUAUUUAGCUUUCAAAUUGUAAAUUAAUUGCUGUUAUUGCAGACUUAAUUCUAGAAUUAUGUAAUCAGAAGGUUGCGAAUGUAUUUCUCGCUCUUUCUAUGUAUGUCAAUAUGAAAAUCAUUGUAUCACUUCCACCCUCAGACCUUCUUUCUCUCUCUUUUUUCUUGGAUCUCUGAGAACAAUGAAAAUGAAAUUUGAUUGUUCAUGAACAUCACACUGUUGAUUCAAUUGGUUUGAAAUAAAGCUUCUUGUUAUGUACGUUGAGUGUUAAAUAGUAUCAAAUUAAAUGUGCUUCCGUUAUUAUUGACGGUUUAGAGAAACAAAAUCGAAAUGCGUCGACAGCAGGGUUCGAACCUGCGCGGGCGAAGCCCAACAGAUUUCAAGUCUGUCUCCUUAACCACUCGGACAUAUCGACAAUUAUUGAAAUUAUUAAUUGUAUUCUGAAUAAAUCGAUGAAUAAAAGGCUCUAAUGUUCACAAACUGAGCAAUGAGCAUUGACAGUUGGAAGAUCAUAUUUAAUUGAUGGAGAUUGUUAUCUUACAUUAUCAUAUAAGAUGCAUGAUUUUUUUAUAGCCGUUGGAUAAAAAUUUAAGAUUAUAUAUCAUUUUAUUUCCACAAUCGUUGAAUAAAAAUCCAACGGUUGUGGAAGAAUCAUGUAUAUUACAUGAUGAUGUAAUAUAACUAAAACCUUAAUUGAUUUGAACUUUUUCCUGAUUAUAAACACAUGAAUUGAUGUGAUAUAACUCAUAUAAGUUACCAUGUGAAGUAACCGGAAAUGUGAGUAAUGGGAUCAGCGGGGCCACAAAAGGUUAUAAUAAUGUUUAUUGAGGACAUGGUCUGGUGUGUCCUUUUGGUUCUGUUAGAAAUAUUCUCAAAUAACCGAAACUCCUUUUCUUUAUAUUUUUACAGUGUUUUCAAGUACACAAAGUAUUUUAGGAUUUGAAAGUAAUUUUUGGAGAAGUAAUUACAUCGGUCAACAUGCUUUGUCUUUGAGAAUACUGAAACGUUGUCGUUUUUUCGUGCUUUGGCAUUAGAACACCAAUGCUGGCGCCUAGCGGCUCGCCUACUGUUCGUAUAAAUUAAAAGCCCAUCUGCUUACCUAUUGUUACAGUUCGACAAAAGGCUUUGGCAGUCGGAAAUGAAAAUGAAAAUAAUUCGAAGUAGACUGGAUAGCUAUCCUUCUCAAGUAUAUAUUUUAAAAUUACUUCAAUUUACUUUUUCUGUCAUCCUUAAUUGAUUGAUGGCUCAUGCAUUUUAUCUAAUAGAAGCUUACCACUAUUACCAUUUAAAGGUCCUAAAAAAUUGAAGCACUUGUGGGAAAAUGAAAUGAAAUCUCCCAUGAAAAUGUUAUUUGAAAAGGUUUUGGCCAUCAAUUUAAUGCAUUGAGUUAUUUGGAGUUCAUCUCUAUUUUUGGGAGUGUGUAAACUGAAAAAAAAAAACUUGGACAACAUGUUUAAAAAUAAUGACAUUUAUUAUUAUAUAAUAUACACCCACCAAAAAUCUGAAACCAAAAUCCUAGGAAAUGCUAAAAAUAAAAGGACUGAUAUUAUUAUUGAUAACAAUAAAAUAAAUGCCGACCACGGCCUUAAUCUUAAUAGGUAACAUCAGAAGAACAUUUUGAUCUCUAAAUGAAGAAACCUACCUUCAUAUGUAAUUAUGUGUUGGAAGUGAACAAAAAGCAUUCUGUUUGUUCUUUUCCUUUUAAAACAUUACACCGACACCAUCUUCACAAAGCUAUGCAACAUGCGGUCUAGUAUGAAUGAAGAUGCCCCUCAACGCCCUACCGUUUGGCAAAACUUUCCCACAAUUUGUUGUCCUUAUUAUUGUAUGAUGUAUGUGGCCUCUGGAGACUGCUAGUCUGUGUCUUUCCAUACGAAAUGUACCUCUCCUUCCAGAAGAAAUCGUAGUUUUGAACUAAUUAUAACCUCUCUGUGUUUUGGGAUCUUGAUAAUGAGAAAUUCCUUAAAAAUUGCUUUCACUUCUCCAUCACCCAGCUCCUUAUCAUGCUUUGGACUCCACCAAAAAAAAAAGAAAAAAAGAAGAAGAAGGUUUAUAUAUCGAGCAUCUACUUGAAUUUAAAACAAUGAGGAAGUGGCCAACUAGUUCUCUUGUUCUCACACAACUUCAUGGAGAAGAGCUGUCCUCAUCCGAACUGGUAUCUUGUCUCACAUUAUACCUGUUGAGCACCGGUAACGAAGCAGUUGCUGAUAUCCGGAAGGAUCUAGCUGAACCCACCAUUGUUCGCUCCUGCAUCUUUCCAACUUCUUUGCAGACAUGAUCCAAUAUAGCAAGGAAAUCUCUAACAAUCAUGAAUAUUCUGAAAGGAUGUGCUUCCUCCUUUGCUGCAUUCCCAUGAAAAUAUUCAGUAACCUCUUUCACAAGUGACAAAGCCAUUCUUUCAUCAGCCUUGAUCCUUGCAAUUUCCUCUUCAGCUUCUUUCAGAAACAUUUUCAUUGAGUGGAAGAACUUCCCCUGCAUGUCUGGCUUCUCAUAUUGCAAAACCAAUCUGACUUUCUCAAGCCCCAUUUCAAGCUUCAUCACAUAGCUGCUUAAUACAUCUGAGUCCAUUCCAGCUGCUUUUUUGACAUUGCUGAGGUCUCUACUCAGCCCGGACACAACCUCCAAUCCUUGCUUCUUGAACUCAUCCUCCCUCAUAGAGUUCUUGCUUUCAACAUUCACUUCUGUAGAUUUGGUACCUGCACCCUCAGCUCUAAUAAUUUCCUGGACCACAAAGUGGAGCAAUGUUGUCUUCCCAUCCGUUCCCUUUAUAUCUACUAGUUUUAAGAGUGUAUCAAGUUUAAAAGCUUUAGCGUCUCCACGAUUAGUACCAACAUUCAUCCUGUUUCCUGUCUUGAGAACAGCUUCAAGGAGUUUGAGAAAUAAUCUGCUGUUCUUCAAUUCUUCACUUGCUGCCUAACAAGUACAAAGAUUAUAGGUUCAAAUUUCUAGAAGUCAGAACUGGCAACUUGUAGAGAUCAAAUAGGACAUUAAACUUAUCAAUUCAUAAUUUCAUCCAAAAUACCUCUAGAGUUUGAUAUGACUUUCUCAGAUAUUUUACUUCGGCAUCAAAGUUGGCUCUGUACAGCAUUGCCUCAACUCUUUUAAAGGCAAAUGGAAUAUCAAGAACUGCCUUGAGAAAUCUUUCUGCAGAUCCUAGUUUCAAGAUGUCACCUUUGUACUCUCGAAGUUUUAUUUCUUCCUCCUUGGUUGGAGCCAUCUUCACUAGUGUUUCCAAAAGCUCUGCACCUAAGCUUUCAGGGUUACCUGUUCCACCAAAAGACAUAUGUUAUAUGAGAAACUAGAAACGAAGGAUGUAACUAAAGACCAUAAUAAACAUUUAAAGAAAUUGUAUUUUCUUCUAUAUGUUACAUUUGCUUAAUCUGUGUGCCACUGUUAUGAGGGCACAACCUAGGCAGAGACUACUACUGCGAGCUUCUCUAAGUUUUCCCAGGUUAUUUUGACAGGUAGAAGAGCACUGGAGCUUAAGAUAAUUGGCUAGAGUAAUGCAGCAUAGAAAAUUUAGGUGUAUGAAUGUUUUGAAAUUUGGAUGCUGUAAGAAAGGGAGAGGAAAUAUUUGCAAGUGAAAAAAGUAAGAAGAACAAACAAAAUCUCGUCAUGCUUUGUUUGGGGAUAAAGAAGAAUCAGUGUAGUAUUGUCAGUAUAAUGAUUCAGACUUGAGUACCAGUUGACCUUCUCUUUCUUGGUGAAAUAGAUGGCUCAUUCAAAUUCUUCAAUAAGGAACAAAAAACUAGAAAGAAAUUUCAGUUAUCAUAUCCAAGAGAAAGGAAGUAGACAAUGGCGAAAUUAUAUGUAGGAACUAGGAAGAAUUGAUAACUUAUAAACACGAGAUGAAUGGUAAAGUAUCUGUGAAUAAUGCUUCUGAUUUCAAAGUAAAUAAAUGCAAAUAUGAGUUGGCAAUGGGAUAUCAAUCUUUUAAUUUGACAUUGUCAAUGCUUGGCAAGUUGUUAUAGAGGAUGUUUAAACCUUUUGAUUAUCUUCCCUUGUGAUUUAAGUAUCUUUGUCAAUUAAAAAAAGAAAAAGAAAAAGAAAGUAUUGUUGUGAACUGAGUGUCCUUUCUUGUUUUUAUUAAUGAAAAGCUACACAGUUAUGCCGGUAUCAUUAUUUAUCUAAAACUUUCAUAUAAUUACUAAGAAGGGUAAUGGCAAUGACUUCUGAAUUAAGCAUUUGGUAAUGACAAUGACUUCUGAAUUAAGCAUUUAACUCCUAUUUAUAGUUUUAGAAUUUCUUGACAUCACUUUUUCUGUUCUGAACUAAGAGUUAGGAGAUGCAAUGCUUGGUACUUUUUUAUUCCAAUUAUGUGCUACCAUAGACCUAUUUGCACCCGACAGUUUUCAAUGAACUAACAAUGUAUGCUCAAUCAAAUUUUCUGGCACCUAUCAACUGUCAAGAAAGGCUGCUGGAAAGUGAAUAUGCUAUAAUAAGUAUAGUUGUUAAAUUAACCCCAAUCACAUUGGCACUGCCUAUUGCCAAGCAAGCCAUGGAGCCUGAGAAAUGAUGAUAGAUCGAAAAUAGCAACAUUACUUAGAUCGAAAAUAGCAACAUUACUUACCAUCUAGAAGAGCUUCAGACACCUCAUCUCGCGUUACAUUCAAUGCUCUUAACAAAAUAGCUAUGUUCUGUGAUUUCUUUGGGUCCAAUACCCUGUUUUCCAGUUCAACAGGGGGGAGAACUGAUUUUCUUGUAGUAGGUUCUUUUGGAACUGAAUUCACUGAAUUGCAGCCGAAAAGAGACUCCAUCAUGUCCUCAUUCAAUCUACAAGCAAGUGAAAUGCCCUCAAAGAUCAGAAAUUGUACAUUAGAUUUGGCAGAAAAUAGAAGAAGUAAAAAAUAUUUACUUACUGAAAUGAGCUUGAUUUUAGCUGAUCCCACACUGUAGCUCGGUCUGAGGUUGCCCGUACUUUGUCCCAAUGAAGAGCUUUUAACUUCGGCUUUGCUCCAUCAGUACCAUCCCCUUCAGUCUUCUCAGAAGUACUUGUACUUUUACUGACCUCUUCCACAGGAGAUUUACUUAUGCCACAACCAGAAGGGCAGUUUGGACUAGACAAAGAUUGCUGCUUAGGCAAUACUGGAGCAGGCGUCGAGGAAACAAUUGUGUCUGAAGAUCCCAUUUUUCUUGGUAUUGACAGUGGUGGCGGCGGCGGCGGCGGAACUGGAAUUUUAGUUGUUUGUGAGGAUGAAUUGCUAUUCAACGAUCGAAGAAGCUCCAUAUUUGGUGGUGGUGGUGGUGGAGAUGAAAAUUUUGGCCUUUUGGGAGAGUAUGGAUUUGCACGUGAGCUAUCCUCAGCUCUAGGCUGCUCUGUCCCUCUUUCUGCCAUCCCUUGUGAUGGGGGUGCUGGUGGCAGCGGCGGCUGCUGUUGCUUGAUGGACGGUAUGAUAACAUUCUUCAUUUCUGGAGAAGAAGCUGCGAGCCUAGAUUUAGGUGAAGUUCUUUUCGAAUGAGGAACAGAACUAUUAUUAGGAUGACCAACAGAAUUCACAGUGCCAUUGUUGUUAACAUGAACUGAACGGGACGAAGCCACAACCGGCGUGCAAUAUUCAUCAUUGCUGAUAGAAGAGCAUUGUGGUGUAUAAAACGCCGUGUCAUGACUCUCCUCAUCCGAUGAUGACAUAGCAGCCGGUGAAUUCUCAUUCUGAGAAGGAGGCCUGGUCAAUUGUGGGAGUGGUUGCAAUUCAGGGCUUGGCCUGUACCGAUCUGAUCUUUUAACAGAAUCGAGUUUAUGAUAUGGCGACCCAUUCGCAGCAGCUUCACUAACUGAUGUCCUACUGGGCUCUACAGUUCCUAUAUACAGAAAGCUUGAUGGGGGCACUCUGGGUUCAUCCUGAAUCCCUUGGGAAUUGGCUCCCACGAGUUUCUGAGACUCUCCGGGGUGUUUAACUCUAUGGCGAUAAAGAAAGAAUGCAAGAGCUGAUAACAUUCCCAGUGUGACAAUUCCAACUGAUAUAGCAAUUGCCACUUUUUUGGCUGGCUUUGCUGGUUGUGUGGCUGCUGGUAUUGGUAUGCUGCCGUUUGAUGACGAUGAUGGUGUUGCAGGCGUUGUUGCUGGUGGUGGUUGGUUCUGAUCUUGACUUUGUCCAUUUGGGUCCUCGGGGAAAAAGGGCUGGUCUGGGCUUUCCGGUGAAGGCGGCGGCGGCGGAGGCGACGGCGGUGGCUCAGCCCCUGGUGGUGGUGAACUUGCUGGAAACAAUGGCUGGUGAAGAAUUCUUCUCUGAAUUGAACUGCUAAUGCCAAUGCUAAUGUCACUUUCUGCUAUGCAGGAAAUGGACAAUGAUAGGAUCAAAAAGAGGUUCAAAUGAUAAGCUUUCAUGGUGAAUUUUUCUGGGUUGAUGUUAUCUUCUUCUUUUCCUUCACCAAAUUCAUCUCUUGCGUGUGUUAUUUUUUCCUUUAUCUUUUUUGGGCUCUGCAGAAAAUGGAAAAUUUUGUUUGGUAAGAAAGAGAAAAGAGAGAAUGUGAAGGGCAGCUUCUUUUUUCUGCAAGAUCUGGAUGCUCCAAGUAGCUCAUCUCUCUAGUAGUCAGCACUCAGCAGUAGCCGCAUUUUUAUUUUUUUUUUAAUUUUCCCUUCCUUCAUUCUCCUUUCCCCUUUUUCUAGUUACCCCGAUCUAUUAUUUAUUUGUUUUCUGUUUUUUAGUUUAACCGCGAAACGGAGUAGUACAGUUACAAGUGAAGGAAUGACACGUGGACAGUGAGAAUCUACUUUAGUGCUCCUCCAUUUUUUUUUUCCAGAUAAAUGGACGAUGAUGACCACGUAGUGUUAAUAAAAUAAGGACCACGUUGAUGUCCUUUUCCGUCCAAUAAUGAAUUGUUCCUUCUUUCGCUUAGAACGAGAAGAGGGACAGUUAUAUAAAUAAAUUCCACAAUAUUCCUUUAAUUUCCCUUUAGAGCCGUUUAAGUCCUGUGGCUGUGGCCAUUGCUUGCUUUAGCACUCUCGAUCUUAGGUUCUGGUCACAAUCCUCUGCAGUCCCGGAUACAAGAACCCACAACGUCUGACCGUACCUCACAUUAAUAUACAUUUGUAUAUAUGUAUAAACUAAUUUUCUAGUUUUUAUUUUAAACUUUUGUUAAUUUUACAUAUUUCGAAUAUCCUGAUUAAUUUUUAUAUUUGUUUGUAAGAAUUAAAUUCGAGAAAUAUCUUUUAAGUAUAUUUGAAAAUUAAUUACAAAAACUCACUCUUUAUGAUCUCACCGAAUUGGUAGACUGAAAUUUCAACUCGAAAUUUAUUAUAUUUAGGUAGAAUUGUGUCGUGGUCAAUUAGAUAUGUACAUCCAAUUCAUCCGUAUGCUACAGAAAUCCCAGGUAUAAAAUUGGAAAUUUGUUUGGUUGCUUGUGUGGUAGGUUUGACUUAAUUGGAUGGUGGGAUCAAUGGAAACGCGCAAUCAUGCACCAUUAUAACACGGUGAGGAAACUUGUAUUAUACUGCAUAAUAAUCAACAUUCAUUUAAGUGUAACAUUAACGUAUAAGUGAUAGUAUGUGGAUUCUAGAUGUGGGAGCAUCAAGGCCACAAAUGUAAUUGCACCGAAAAGAGUGAUCUGACGCCAAGUUAACGUUAUGCUCUUUUAAUGCUUUGCUUUUUGGGCUAAGAUUGAUCCACCGACCGUCUCUUUAUCACACAACUGUUAAGAGGGGGGGAAACACGCACACGGCCAUUUGGCAAGCAUUUGCUUUAUUUUUUUUGCUUUUUCUUUUAUCCCUUUCUUCUUUUGAUGGACAUCCUUAUAUGCCAUUUGGGUCGCCACCGCCACUUAUGCAAAUACAAUAUUAUCCUUUCUCUUAAACCACCUGGGAUCAUUUUUUUAAUCAUUUAUGCACUUUAUGUUACUAUUUUUUAGCACUCUAAUCUUGUGUUUUCUUUCUAUAUACUAAAGGAUCUUGAAAUAGACAUUCCACUUUUACAAUUUAUUACACUCAAAAUUCAUUUUGUGAAUUACAGGAGAUUAAAUCUCUAACGGUUUGAGUUAUAAACCUUUUAAAGUAGGUAGAGCUCGUCUGGCGUAGCUAAAGUGCUGCACCUCUAUUUAAGUAGAGGCUAAUGUUAAGUUACAUGUAACUUUCUCACAUGAAUAGUGAGUGAUGUCCUAACGGUUGGAGUUAUAAACCUUUUAAAGUAGGUAGAGCCCGUCUGGCGUAGCUAAAGUGCUGCACCUCUAUUUAAGUAGAGGCUAAUUUUAAGUUACAUGCAACUCUCUCACAUGAAUAGUGAGUGAUGUCCACAUCACUCACUAUUCAUGUGAGAGGAUUGUAAGUUACAUACAUGUAACAGACGGGGAUCCUUAAAUAGAAAUCUUCUCCUACAAUAGAAUUGAUUGUAUGCUAAAAUAGAGGUGUGGGGUAUAUGUGUUGUCAAAUCAUCACCAAAAGACCUAUUUACAUUUACUCUUCUAAUACUUAUUUACUUACGUGAUAAAUAAAUAAAAUUAAAAAAACUCUUUAAUUAUGAAAUAAAUUUAUAUCAUUUUAUUUAAAUUCUUCUCCCACCAAAUUUAACUACCCUCUGUUUUUUUUUUUUUAAAAAAUAAUGUAGUUAUAGUACUUAUCUCCAAUAAUAAUGAUAUAAAAAAAGUAUAAUAAUAUUUGAAAAGAUAGAAGUCAUUCUUUAAUAUUAAAGAGAGAGAAUGAUAAUUUCAUUGAAAAAUCUAAUUUAAAAAGUCUUUUAGAGCUUUUAUUAUUAAUGUGACUCUUUAGAUGAGAAGUGAAAUAUCGUUUGAAAAGUCUUUUGGUGAAUUUACUUUUCAAAAGAGAGAAGGGUGAGCAAAUACCAAAUUAAUUAUUGAGUCAUCAAUUCCUCUUAGAAUUUAAAUUCAAGUGACCAACUAUAAAAAAAAUUAUUUAAACUAUUGGAUUAGACAUCUAAGAUAGUGUGAUAACUUACUAUAAACAUGUAAGCAUUUAGGACCCAAUUGGAGUUGUUUUUGGGAGACUCAAAAGUAAUUUUGAAAAUAUAAAAGUUAAAUUUAGGCUUUGAUAAAUUCUUUUAGAAAUCACUUUUGACAAAAUAACUCCAUCUAAUUACAGAUUUUGAAAAGUUAGGAAGGAUUAACUUUUCAAAAUCUGAUUUGAUCAGUUUUAUACUUAAUACAAUUAUAUAUAUUAAAAAAUCUAAAAUUAUCCUUAUUUCAUAAAAUCUUUAAUUUUAAAGAAAUUAUUACUACCAACUACAUUAAGAUUAAAAAAAAGAAUAAAAAUUAACAAUAUAAAAUAUUUAUUUUAGUUAUCAAUGAUUACAUAUACACAAUAAAAAUAUUUAUAUACAUGUUUAUAAAUGUGUGAAAUAAAUUUUAUUCAACAUUAUAUUUAAUUCAGUCAUUUACAUUCUUACAAUUGUUUAAUAAUAAGAUUUAUCAAAUAUAUACGACUACUUUUAAAAGUCACAUUUCUUUUAAAAAUAAAUUUUACUAAACGUUAAAUCAAUUCUCUUUAUACCUGAUUAUUUAUAUAGUAUAGCUAAUAAUAAUUAUUUUCAAAAUUACAACAUUACCAAACUGGUGCUUACUAUGAAAAAAGAAGAAGGAUUUUGCUUGCAAUGUUUUAAAGAUAGUAUUUGACAAGAUUACUUCAAAAAAAUUUGUAAUUGAAGUGUUGGGUGUAGGUCAAUUGGUAGAAUCUUCAGUAUAUAAAGUAACGACACAUUCACUAUCUUAAAAUAAGAAUAUUAUUAAUAAAUAAAAAACACAUAUUUUAAUAUAUUUAUAAAUAAAAAUAUAUAUAUUUUAAUAUAUUAAAAUUUAUUUUUAAUAUUUUAAUGAUAUAUUUACUUUACGAAUAUGACAUUUUACUUUACCAAUGUCUAAUCAGAAUAUGGCUCAGAGUUCAAUUUCUAGCAAGGAUAGACAUUUAAUGAACUUCUGGCCAAUUUGGGGCCGCGGUACAAUCCAAGAAGUCAAUUUUCCUGCAAACUUGUUGAGGAAUCAAGAAAGAAAACAAAUACCAAAAAUCUUCAAGAAACAUAAAUAUUCAUGACUUUUAACAGAUAUUUCGAUUUACUAAUAACGAUUGAAGCUGAUCUACUUGUUUUCAUAUCGAGAAUUUGGUAAAAUGACAAACAGAAAAAUGGCCCGUAAUCUAUGUUUUUGAAAAUUCCAUUGCCCAUUAAUUUCUACUUCAGAUUAGAAAGUUCCUGUUGACCGACAACUUUUGAAGUAUUAUUAGCCUUGGCUUAUUCUGCUGAUCGAAUUGAUUUGCCAAUGGAAUUAUUUUUGGCCACGUCUGAUGUCGACUAGUGGUUGAAUUUAUAUGUAUCAAUGAAUGAUAAUCAUCAUAAAGUGCUUUAUAUCUCAUGGCCUUAUAGCUGUCAUCAUGAGAGGAUUAUUAAAAUAAUCGUCUAUAAUGUAAUUAAAUUAUUUGUGAUAAGGUUAAUAAAACGUUGGAGAAGACGCUAGCAAUUAGCAAAAGCGCAGGACUGUUUGAUUCCUACCGUCAACCAAGAAAGAAUAACUAAACUGGUAAAUUUUAGAUUCACCUUUAUUUCAAAUGAUCUUUCGAAUAAGACAAGUUACGUAUAUCAGAUUAAAUGAGUUAAUUCAGCAAUUAAAACUGCAGUUAAUGGCCAAAUUACGAACAGUUUCGAAGUUAGAAUUAGCACCCUUCUUUCUUUAUCUCUCUUUCUUUUUCUAAGAAAGUGGUGCCAAAAUCAAAUAAAUUAUUUUAAUUAGCUCCCUACCUCUUCGAAUUAUGCAUGUUUUGUUUAUGGGUUGCCGACAUUUCACGCAAUGCAUGGCAUUGGCCAGUGGCAGUGAUCAAAUUUCACACCGCGCGUCGAAGCAUUAUCUAGUUUUGCUUUCGCAGCCAUGCAUUGGGCGAACGUUUUACUUUCUAUAAUUAACAGAUUAUAAAACUCACACAUCAACUUCACAAUGCUCGUUUAGUCAACUUGUAGUCUUGUACCACCAGCCAGAUUUUUAUGCAUAAUUUUCUUAACUUUUUUGGGCAUUCAGAGGAAAAUUGCCUGAGUUCUAAUAUAGGCAUGCAAUUGAAUGAACAAUGUGUGAUAAUAUAUGACCCAUGCAUCUAUAUAUAUUUUUUAUCAUGAUUUAUCGAAACUUUACAUUGACGAUUACACCCUCUAAACAAUUUUUCGUAAUUAGUAAUUAAGUUGAUUCCAGUUGUAGUGAUUACUCUUUAAUUCGAGCAACAAUAGGGAUGGCAAAAUUCAUAUCCGGAUCUGAAUCUGCAUUGAAGUUUUGAUGUCUGUAUCCACACAAAAAAUAUGCGGAUCCAGAUAUCCGCAUUGAUUGUAGAUGGAUUUUUCAAAUAUUUGGAUCCGGAUAAGAAUAAAUUCAAAUAUAAUUUUAAAUUCAAAAACUUGACCUAACAAUAUCAAAUAAAAUUCAAUUGUAAUUCAACAAUCAACAAUUCAACAUAAAUAACAUACACAACACCAUAACUCUACAAAAAAAAAAUCCACAACAUAAAUCAAACAUAAACAAUUAAAAAAAAUCUAAGGUAAAACUGAUUCAUUACAACAUUCCUUAAUUAUUAUUAUUAUUAUUUUAGUUUCUUAGUGUAUUUUUCAAAUUCAAUGAAGAUUAUAGAGUUCAUUAUGCUUAUACAUAUUAACUAAAUAAUUUGAUUAGAUAAACAAUUUAAUUUAUAUAUUUUUCAAUUGAAAUUUAAAUAAAUAAAUAAAUAAUUUAAAUAUAAAAUAAUAUGAAUUCAGAUAUCUAGUUUUCUAAAUGCAUUUGCAUGUAUAUAUGCACGGAUCUUAUAUUUUAGACUCUAAAUCUAUAUUUUUUUAAUAUAUAUAGAUCCGGAUUUGAAACAGAUUUUUUCAAAUCCGGAUCUUUUGAAAUUUUACGGACACGACCGGAUCCAGAUUUUCUUGGCAUCCGUGAGCACCAAGAAUAUGUUUGAGAAAAUAGUAGCAAGGUCUUUCGUAAGUUGCUUUAGAAUUGUGGAAUGGACCCACGAUAACUUUUUCUUUCGCAUUUGGUUAAUCGCAUGCAAUUCUAGCUCACAAGGCAAAUAUGCCCUUUUUCUUUUAUUAUCUUUUUGGUUUCCUAUGUUAUAAAUUUUUAAAAGUAAGGUGUACGUAGCAUAUGCAUGCAUGUUUUAUAGCUAUUAUAUCAACUAGCCAUAAAAUUACAAGACAAUGUUUUCUCUAGGCACAUUGUUGCCAUGCUUUCAGAUCCUUUCUCCCAUUGGUUCUCUUUUUUACAGGCCUCUUAAUUAAAGAUUAUUGUUGUGUCGCUGAUAUCGGACUAUAGAUAAUGAAAAUAAAAUAAAACAUAAAUGAAAGUAGUUUUGCAUUUUUGUCACCAAACUUGGGUAUGUCAAUAGUGAGAGCCAUGAUGGAUGAUUGGAUGUGAUAAGAUUUCAACUCAUCAUGCCUAAUUUGGUCGUGUAAUUUCCUUCAAUCACGCUUCUAUCCUCGUGAAACCUCUAUUUUGUUUUUAUUAACCUAAUAAAUACAUAUAAAUUAUAAUAUUAAAAGUGCUUCUAUUUGUAUUUUCGUAUUUAAAGUAUAUAAUACUAAAUGAGUGUCAUACUGUCAUUAUGUAAUAAAGUCAAAAUUUAUAAAUUUUUUUCCCUAGUAGUCAAAAGGCUAAAUAAUUCAUUUAAACAAAAAAAAAAAGAGUAUUUCAUACAAAUUAAGGGAGUAUUUCAUACAAAUUAAGGGAAUUAGCUUUCCCUAGUAGUCAAAAGGCUAAAUAAUUCAUUUAAACAAAAAAAAAAAGAGUAUUUCAUACAAAUUAAGGGAAUUAGCCAGCAGUCACAGCUUUGUAUGUCUCUUUUUCAACAUGAGUGGUUAUUUGUUCAAUUUCUUAGACGUCCAAGUGUCCUUUUUCCUACAAAUUGAGAAUGAUUUAGCAAUAACAGACUACAAUUUUAUUUUUCCUUGUAAAAAUUUAACUUGUAUUUAGAAUUUGUGCAUUAAUUUUUAUUUUUUUUAUCUAGCUACGAGUGAGGCCAAUAAUUAGAGGAACAAUAAUAAUAGUAUUCUUAUUAUUAUUAUUUUUGGUUCACGGAAUCCGAUAGAGCAAUCAAAUGUUUUUGAAUGGUAUAAGUAUUGGUCAAACAUAAACAGAAAGCUUCCCUUUUCCCAUGAGGCAGAGCAUCAACAAGAACAAUCAAAUGCUAUUGUCGCAAAAGAUGAGAAAGAAACCAAAGUAGCCGGACGGCCGAUACUAUUGAAUAGUGAUUCUGGUGUGGUGCCGAAGAUAUCUAAUCAUACACAUUGAUGGAAAUGUCUAACUAAUAUCAGUCGUCUGAUUGGUCAUCUGGUCCCACAGAUCUGCUAGUUCGUUGUUCCAGUGGGCCCCCAAAUCUCUAACCCUUUUUGUUUUUUUCUGAUACGUGGGCCCCAACAGGACCUGUGCCUUUCGUACGAAUUCAGUCUCACAAAGAUGCCCUUCCCUGCCCAAUAAACGGCAAGGUAAGGCCAAAAUACAUAGAAAUUUAGAAAAAGAAAAGCACUAACGUUAUAAAUGAAAAUGCGACGUCGUAUUUUUAAGGGAAGUCGCGACCGCUCACCUGUGGUCUCGUGAUUAUCUUGUCUGAUUCGUGAAAAGCAAAAGACGAACUCGAUUAAAGUUAAGAAAGACAAUGAGUCAUGACAACACUCUCUCUCUCUCUCUCGCCCGUUUUAGUCGUUUAUUAUUACGGUUUUAUUUUGUGCAGUGUGUGUGUAUGUUGGGCUCUUGGGCUGGGUACUUCAAAAAUCACAGCUCCCACACCAAUAAUGCACAGUCUUUUGCUCUUUUUGUUCUUUCUCCACGCGUCCCGAUAUUCAGGUGCCCAACAAUGACCAUUUUCUAUUCUUGGUGACCAAGUCUAGUUAAAUUCAAUGUAACAUUUGCAAGGUUAAUAUCGAGUACAAUUUAUUAGAAUUAUUUUAAUAAUUUUAUGUACUCUUUCUUUCUUUCUUUUUCUUUUUUUGUGAAAAAUGAUUUUUCAGUUUCAAGUUGAAGCAUUUUAGAAUGUGCAGUGUGUAGCCUGUACAGGAGUAAAGCAAAAUGCAAAUGGCUUCUUUUGUACUCUGAAAACCCCUCAGCUCACUACGCAUAAACACCUGCAGUGUAUAAAGAGAGAGAGAGAGAGAAACUCGUAAAAACGAGGGUUCUAUUCUAUCUUAUAUGAAGUUACUUAAUAGUUGAAAGUGUGCAAGCUGUCUUCAAGAUUUUACAUUUUUCUCUUCCCUACAGUCUACAACCAAAAUGUUGAAGUUAUUGUGGCUCUUCCCCAUCUUCUUUCUUUGUUUCCUGGGUCUCACUGGUAAGUAACUAAGCAUCAUUCAUCAACGUGUGUUGCUUCUUACUUUUGUUUUACGGAGAAUGAAUGUCUUUAAUGCAAGUUUUUCUUUUGUCUUUCUGGCAGGUGCAGGCCAAGAAUCUAUUGAACUUCUUUACGUCUAUGACUCAACUGCAGGGCUUCUUCCAGCAGCAUCUCACUCUGGUCUUCCUUUAGCAGUUCCUGUGAGUGAAAAAAACCUCAAUGAAAUCUCUAGCAGUGUUAUAAUGGCUGAGAGCUGGUUGAGGACCUAUGUUCUGCCCCAUUACCCAGCUACUAAAAUCACCACCAUUGUUGUGGGUAACAAUCUUUUCUGCCAAAAACAGCAAGAGCACAACUUUGGUCUAAUUUUACCAUCUCUCAAGAACAUGUAUCACUCUCUUAAAAGGUGGGGUUUGGAGAAUGAAAUCAAAGUUUCCCCUGCUUUCUCUUCCAGCUGUUUUAUCCCAGAUUUAACUCUCUUCAGAGACGAUUUGAUUGAGCAAGUUAUUAAACCUCUGUUACAGUUUCUUCACACCGCAAACUCCACUUACUCCAUUAUCCCACCUCCAAAGUUAUCUCCUUUGUCUGAUAAAACUACCAUCUUUGCGUCUUCUUACUUAGAAUCAAUGAAAAAGCUUGGAUUUUUAACCCUCAACAAGAUCAAUGUGCUGAUCCAAAACCCAAAAGGAACAAAACCCAUGCGUAGAAAGCUCUCAGCAGCGGUAAUUGACACCAAGAUUAUAAACCCAUAUCCAGCUAGACCAACACCAUUACCAGAAAUCACACCAAUUCAUUCCUCUAUAGGAUUUUCUAUCCCUGCCCAUGCAGCCAAAACGCCUCAAUCCCCACAACCUUACUCUGCUCCCGCACCAUUGUCUUUCCCUUCAUCUUCUCCACCGCCAUUUGCUAUCCCUUCUGCUGCUCCCCCGCCAUUCACUUUCCCUUCAUCUUCUCCGCCUCCAUUUUCUUUCCCUUCUGACUCUCCACCACCAAUGCCCUUCUCAAUGGCGCCUGAACUCCCUCCCUGUAACCCUAUAGAUUAUAAUGUGGCGCCGGCGCCGUCGGCUGUAGGGGUGGUACAGAGGCUGUGGUGUGUAGCUAAGCCAAAUGUGCCAGCUGAUACUUUGCAGGAGGCAAUGGACUAUGCCUGUGGUGAAGGCGGUGCUGAUUGUGAAGAGAUCAUGCCUCAUGGGAACUGUUUCUAUCCUGACACUGUUGUUGCCCAUGCCUCUUAUGCUUUCAAUAGUUACUGGCAGAAGACCAAGAGAAAUGGAGGGACCUGUGCCUUUGGUGGGACUGCUAUGCUAAUCAAUGCUGAUCCAAGUAAGCUUCUAAGAAACUAAAAAUUACUUAUAGCCUUCAUGUAUUCAUUCAGAGUUAAAAGUGUUUUGAAGGUCUAGUGGGUCCUUUCUCCUAAUUCUUUGAGAAUUGGUUGUUUCAGGUUUUCUUCACUGUAGGUUUCUUCUCAGUUGAAGACAGCAAUGCAAAUGGUUAUGGAGAAUGUUGGGAUCAGUGGGGUCUAAUUCCGGGGUGAUUUUCUUGAGCUUUUUUUAGUAUAUUGCUUGUAUGAUGAAGUAGUAUUUAGAGAUUUUGCUUUCUUUCUGACUGCUGUAUUUAUGGGGGUACCCUAGGCAGGCAACAAGCGGAAGGACUCUUUUGACUAAUAUGCUUUUGCUUUAUCCAAUAGAUCUUGCUUCUCUUACAACUUCAAAUUUUUAUUUGCCCGUUAUUUUGGCAAUUCUCUUUAUAGCAUUUGACGAGGCUUGCUAAGAAGAUGUGAGUUUAAAUUGGAUUUACUAGUGAGUUGUCGUCUAUCAUAUCAUAUGGACAUGAUGCAUAAAAUUAAUUGGCUGCUUCAAACCAUUUUGUUUCUCCAAUUUGGUACGUAAUUGAUAAGGAUCAUCGAUUAGGGAUAUAAAACAAAUAGGCUUAACCAAAAGCUUCAUAUAGAAACAAAAUGAAUUUUAUAUAAGUGAAUUUUGUUGAAUACAGUGGAUUUGGAUGAUAGAAUUGAGACUGAGUGCACUGUGUGAUAUCGUUUUAUUCAACUGAUGGAUGUAGAAACUUGCUAACCACCAAUUUUCUUCACGGAUGCCAACUAUAGCAGAGCCUUGACAUCGUUUUAUUUGGAUGAUAGAAUUGCUAUCACAUGCUGAAGAGCAUUCAUGCAUUGAGAUGUCAAUUGUUAAGAGUGCCGGUGUAUACUGUAUGCUUGCCUGCCUACCAAGUCGGUCAAAGCUCAUUAGCCCUUUCACAAAUGGUGAAAAACUGCAUCGGUUUGGAAUCAUAAUUUAGAAAUCUUGUUUUGAGCCAACCAAUCAAUUCCGAUAGAGCAAGUCUCUUAACUAAAAAAGUUUCUAUCUUUUGUAAGAAUAAAAGUGAAAUACAUUGAUCAAUAGUACAACUGAAUGCAUUUACUUACCAAAAAGUCUUGGGACUGCUUGAAAUUAACAGGACAAUUUUUUUCCAUUGUUAUUUGACCUUAGUUACAUAAUCAUAAUUCACAAAAUCUCAUGUGAUGUGGGUUGACUCGAAAGCUAGAGCUAUUAGAUAAGGACCUAAGAUUUUGCCGUUUUACACUUAAUUACCAUGAACUUAAUUGCUUUGGAAAAUGUAUGUUCAUUGUUGUGCCCUCUACGUCUUCUUCACUCUCUGUUUCAUUGCUAUUAUUUUCUUUCAUCUAAUAAUAUAAUUUUUUGGAACUUGGGAUAAAUUGGAUAUCUAUUGUGACUAAUCCGAAUGAGUGCUUCUGGCACUUAAUAUAAUAUCUGUGCGAGCUUGAUUUAUUUAGUGCUAUAUCUAUAUAUGUAUAUGCAGAUUCUUUAAAUUCUUUAUUUAUUUUCAUUAGAAAUUAUAUAUUAUAUUAUCAACUUGCCUUCAUUUUUACAAGCAAAGUGGAUUUUCUGGAAGGUCCCCCGAGCAAGGUGAAUCUUGGUCACUGCUUGAAACUCGUUCAAGCAAGGCCCGGCUUGUAUGAGUCAGCUUCAGGCCCAGGGGGACUAUUGUUACUAAGAUUAUUCCAACGCACGGAUAAAUAAUACUAAAAAAAAAAAAAAAAAAAAAAANNNNNNNNNNNNNNNNNNNNNNNNNNNNNNNNNNNNNNNNNNNNNAAAAAAAAAAAAAAAAAAAAAACUUAAGACAUAUCAUAAGAACAAAUGACAAAUGAGAAUAAAUUUGAAGUCAAUGGUAUUGACUGACCCGAAAGCUUAAGCUAUUCGCAGUCAUUAGAUGAAGGUUAGAGGCUUUAAACCACAGCACACCUUAUUGCUGCGUGUAGAGAGGUUCAGACCAAUUGUUGUGCCCGGUCCCCAGUCUUGUUUCAUAUCUAAAUUGUGAGAGAAAUGAACCAAGCAGUACACCUGUCCUUGAGCAGAGAGUCCGUUUGCCAGCGAAUACGGAUCAUAUGAUGCUACUGAUGCGAGGAGGUGCAACCAGCCAGUAGCACAUUAAAAUUACAAAAAGAUUGCAGGCUUGCAGCAAAUAAAGAUUGGGCCUCUGGGCAACCCAAGUACACAGGUCCUGUCUCAAUUACUCUUAUUUUCUUUUGAUUAGGUAACAUCUCAUCCUAACACCAGUCCAGCCACUACUGGUCAAGUUAAUAACGAAGAGCAGCUUUUGUUCUGCUGGAUGAUCCAUCAAAGGAUAAUCUUGUAUAUGACAUUUUUAGAAAUCAAUUUAGAAAUAUUUCUCCAGACUUACUUUAGAUCUUUGCCUGUCAUUGUGAACAACAGAGAGCCAGCUAUAUAAGAAAGGAUGUGCCAAUCUUUCUGUGCAAGUUGCCCUCCAGUUAUUUCAACUAGGUUGUUUCUAAGUGGAACUUAACUCGAUUAUUUACGGUGACUAAUAACGAGCAAGAAAAAACUGGCAUACCUACCUAGAUAUCGGAAAAUAGUUUAUAAAAACAAAACCAAAAAUAUGUUUGUCUCUAAUCUCUCACCAAGUGUUUAAAAAGUACCGAGUUCAUCUAGUAAAUAUCACAUAAAUACAUAACUAUAGUGGUUUGAAAUUCAUUAUUCGUACACAUAGCUAUAAGCUCGUAAAAGUUUUAUCCAUUCCUGAACCUGCAAAUGAUAAAAAAAUGAGAUUUCAAGCAAUUUACAAUUGUGGAAACAAAUAGUUUGAUACCUUUCCGUUUACUAUUGUGGAAACAAAUACUAAAAUCCAAUAUCAAUUAAGAUUGGUAAAAUGUCGGGCAAAGCCCGCUCGGCCUAAACAUGUCUUUUUUGGAACCAAACUAGGCCCAACUCGAAUCAAACUUCUUUCGGGCCUAGCCCAGAAACCAAAAUUUUACAUUCUACACUUUUUUAAUUUUUUAAUAUGUUUUGUAAAAUUUUAAUUUAUAAAAUUUAUUUUUUAAAUUGAAAUAAUAUAAUUAUAAUUUAAAAAAAAAAUUCGAGUAUUUAUAAAACGUACUUGGGUCAAGAAGGCUUUUCUUAGAUAGUAUCUGAUAUUGAUGUAAAUGAUGCUUGUGUCAAUAGAAAAAUAUACGGACUAUGAAAUUUGUAUGAGCAAGAAAAUUAAAGAAAUUAUAAUGCAAUCUUUAUAUUUAUGGAUAAAAAAAGUCCAGUAAGUUUUGUAUAAUUUUGUGGAAUGGGUGUUAGAAAAUGAAGAACAAAAAUUAUAAAAGCGAAAGUGUCUUCCCUUUCAAUUGUUCAUUGAAAAAAAAAAAAAAAAAUUCACAGAAGAGCAAUGGUGUAUAAUAGUAAUUAUGGUUGUACGACUAUCUCAAACACAACAAAAUAAAGACUUCAAUUUUAAGAAAGAUUCACAAUUUUCAUGGUCCUAAAACUUCUUUCAAACCUGAUAAAGAUUAAAUUUUUGUCUCAUCAAAGGAUUCUCGUCGUUCCAUCUGCUCCUUUUAUUGGUGUGAAGAAUUUCAAUUCAAAGUGUGAGCGCGAAGCUUUAAAUAGACAUGACUUUGUCUUCUUAGGUAAAAUUUCACCUGGGGAUAAAAAUGUAAAUAUAUUCACAAAGAGUUUGGGGGAGGGGGGGCUGCUAAUAGUUCAACUCUUUAACAGGUCCUUCUGAACCGAAUGGCCUCUGCGCCAGCCGGCCCCUCUCAUUACAUGGACUCAAGUCUGGUGGGUAAUCAUGAUGUCAAGAGCUUUCAUUUGCAUUCUUGCCUUUUAGUAAUUUACCCAUCAGUAAAAUGAUGACAUAUAUAAUAUAUAUAUGCCACGCGCAGAUGAAAUAGCAGAAUCCGAUCGACCUACUUUUUAAAUGGAAUCUGUCUUUUAGCAGAUUCCAUUAACAGCAGGGAACAGAAGACACAACUGUCCACCAGCUAGCCUUAAUGUAAUGGCAAUUCAGGAAUCUCCAUGACUGAAUGUCUAAAGAGAAUUGCUGAAUCCUGAAUCAUGUACAAUGAUGGACUGAGCUGUGUCUCAUGUUUUGUUUGCUUCUUGUUUUUCUCCCAUACAAAAUUAAAAAAAAAAAGCCUGCAGCCAAUGCCAAGCACCCCUACUCUCUCUCUCUUUUUAAUUCCAAAAUAAUUCAAGUUUCAAAGUUCAGAAUAUAUCAUCAACAGUAGUAUUAAUGCGUCUUAUCAUGCAGUAUUGGUGAUACCGAGUGGCCGUCGCCGUGGCCCCCCUUCAUCACUGUUUGUCGUCUUGCUAAUCUCAGUCUGUAGAUUCUUCUGUGCGGUGAUCAAUCUCUUUUGUCCACUUAUGUUCAUGGUCGCUUCUUCAAUUUAUAUAAUCAAUGACUAUAAUCUCUCUCUCUCUCUCUAUAUACUCUCCUACAAAUUAAAAUUACCUAACAAUUAUUAAUUGAGUGUUUAUUUCGUAAAUUUAAGCUUUGUUUGGCAUCUUAGUUGCGGCUCUAAGGCCACAUCUUCUUCUGUGGAUGGAAGUUCUAAUAUUAAACAUCACUAACUAUGAUUUGUGAAGUAAAAGUUAUUCGUUAAAAACCAAAGUUGCACAUUUAAGCUUAUCAAUACAAAUGGUUGUGAAGGAACUAACAUAUGUUAUAUUUAUAUAGAUCUGAUGAUCAUGUGAUAGCUGAAUGGAGGCAUGAUGAAUUCUGGGAAAGAUGAUGAGCAAAACCAUGCACGGUCAUUAUUAUGGUUGGUUACUUGGCACUUCAAAGAAACUACAAUAUAAUAAUUAUAAAGCUUAAAAGAAUAUCGCAAACUCUGAAAAAGAAAAGCCUAACUCUCCGGAAAAUGGUCCGUCAAGAUUAAGGACCACACAGAUCGAUCGUUUGAAUAAUGUUAAAACUCUCUGUCACGGUAUAUAUAUAUAUAUAUAUAUAAUGAUCAGGUUACAUGUAAUUAUAUCAUAUCACAUCAACAAAAAUUGAUACUGGCAACUCAACUGUAUAUAUUAACAAUAAUGAUAUUUGCACGGCUCGUGAAUUAAUAUAUACAAAACCCUAACUGCAGCAACUCGGUCGAUAAUUUCAGUAAUUUGAGUAGAAAUCAUGGCAGUGGCAGAGCACAUUAAUAUAUGUAUAUAUACGUAAUUUUUUUCUCACUGACGCAAGCAUUGUCUGAUCAUGUACGAAAAUAAAAUACUAAAAAUAAUUUUUAUAUUCCGUGAUUACGGGUGGGUUAGAGACUUUGACAGUCCUCUCUAAUAUUCUUAAACACACUCCAAAUAAUAAUUUCAAGUAUGCAUACAUACAUACAUACAUACACACACACACACAUAUAUAUAUAUAUACACAUGCGCACAUUUUUGUUCGGAGUCAGGAAGAGAAACACUUUCGAUCUUUCGGGGAAAAAAAUGAAGAGAAAACACUCGAGUCUCGACGACAUAUGCUUCUUCAAAGAGUACUAUAAUUUUUUUUUUUUGGUUAAAAAAAUUAUUUCUUGUUCUUUAAUAUAUUGAUCUUUAUUCUCAAGUUGAGUUUUUUAAUUUUAUUUAAUUUUAUUUUAAAUAUCUAGUUAAAAAAUUAAGAACUUAUAGAUAAUUAUCCCAGUGCCGUGAACAAAAUCACUUUUGAAACCGGAACUUCAUGCAUGCAUAUGUGUUUUCUUUAUUAAAUUAUUGAAAUGAUUAAACGGCUAAUCAACAUCAUUCGCUGCAAAUUCAUUGAACCCCGAUUACUGAGAUUAAUUUAACUUUAUACAUAUUAUUAUAAAUAUUAUUAAUCUUUUUGUGUCAGGGAGAUCUUUUUCUUUUUAAUUAAGUUAUCACUUGAAAACAUUGAGUAACAUGAUGAGUUCAUGGUCCUCACUUGAUGCGCAUAGGUUCCCAAUGCUCUUUAUACUCAUUUCUAUGACUAAACAUAAGAAUCCAUGGUCAUGUGCAUUGCCAUAAUUACCUAAAUUUGAGUAACAAAUGUAUAUAAAGCUUCUUCGUCUUUUUAUUUUUUUUUCUGCCUGAAUUAAUGCUAAUAAAGUAGUCUGUGUAUGAAUUGUAUAUAUAAACAAAUGUAUCUUUAUUUUUUUAAGAAAAAAAAUUAUAUAUAUUCGAGUUCGAGUUCUCUCGUUUUUAAUAAGUUUGAAUAGAAUCAGCUCCCAACACUCUUUAUUAUAAAUGCUUUUUUGGUGCUUUGCUGUUCUUACAAACAGUUUCAUCAGUUCAAUCAAAUUUGAUAAAACAAAGUUUAGUAAUCUUCUAACUAUCCAAAAACAUUUUCCUCUAGAGGAGUAAUAGGGUCCAAAGAAGUACCUAAAAAUGGUGAAGCAAUAAAGGAGCACAGUCCUAUCCUAAAAUUCAGGAAUUUGCGAUAUAGCCAGAAGGAUAUAUAGCUUCCAAUAAAGUACUAGAACUACAUAAAGAUAAUGCCUUGCAAAAAUCUUCACCAGAAACACCACAUGGUGAUGGGUCAAUUGUUCACACACUCCAAACACAAAGUGACAUUCAUAAUUGUUUCAAGUGGGCACAUACAUCUACAAAGCCUGUGAAGCUCCAAGUUAUCGACAUGUAUGUGUGAGCAUGACAUUUCAGUCUCCACAAGCUCACCCACACUCACAGGGAAGCAUAUCCAAAAAAAAAAAAAAAAGCCUCUACAAAACAAGAGAGAUCUUUCCAAAAUAAUGUGCCCCGAAUAUUUGUCGGAUUUAAUUAAGAGGCCCCGAAAUUUUUUAUUAAUCAACAUCUCAUUGUGCGUAGCAUAGAAUCUACAGGGGCUCAGUGUCUGUGAAUAAUGCAUCUGCAUCAUCAGGCGAGCGUGCAACCCAUAUAAAAAUUUAAAAAGAUUAUGCCGGACUGUGAAGAUAAUUGAUGCAAAGUGAUGUGGUAAUAUAAAUAAAACUGAGCAUUAUCAUCGGGAUAAGUUAAUUAAAGGUUGGGGAGAAUGUGAUAAAUUCAUAGUGACUAUGUAUAAAUAUAGGUUUUGUGAAUGUGAGGUGAGAGGAAUAUAAAUGUAGUUGAUGAAAUCGGAUAAGGGGAAAUUAAAUAUUGCGGUCUCAAUUUGUCCACUGGGAAGAAGGAGAAGAGAUACUUCAUAAUUUUGAUUGGACUAAUUAAUUAAGAAAUUAUAAAAUAAAUGAAACAUUCAUGAAUGGAUUUUUUUUUUUUAAUCCUGCUGUCGGAUUCAUAGAUACGAAAGCAUAUAGCUUAAUUCACGAGAGUCAAAUGAACCAAGACCAAUGUAUUACUUGUCUGCUGUUUAAUAAAGUUCAUGCUAAAAUAAUUUUUUAAGGAAUUUUAUUUAAUUAACCCUUUGAGUUUAAAUUUUAAUGCUUUUCAAAUGAUUAUCACACUAAUAAAUGAAUUGGUCGGUAUAAAAUCCAUUGCCACGCUAAUUAAUUUAUUGUAUAUCGAUAAAACAAAAAAGCUAGCGAAUAAAUUAGUGGAAAGGAUAUUUAUAUCAACACUUCAUCUCUUUGAAAUAUUUUUGUACAACGCACAAAUUUAUUUACCAUAUGAAUGAUUUAAAAUGAAAAAAAAAAGUUAUAUCUUGUCAAUUGUUCAUAAUCCAUGUUUAGAUAUCUUUAGUUCUGUAUUAAAAAUAGUAAUAAUAUUAUUAACAUACUAGAUUCCUUAGAAUGAAUCAUUUAUUAAUUGAGUGUCUUCAUUUUCCUUUUUUAUCCGGACACACAAUUAAAUUAUAAUUAAUUUUUAAUUUAUUAUUAAAUUAUACAAUUUAAUAAAAUUAUUUUAAUUAAUUAUAUUAAAUUGUAUGAUUAAAUAGUAUGUUCACACAAAAAAAUAUAUAAAUACGUAUAUGAAAAUGAUUAUAUAAAGAGAGGGGGGUGCUUUAAUAAGUAAUGGGGAUAUUUUAACGUAAUAUUACAGCGGAAAUAGAAAAUGUAUAAAUGAAAAAAGAAGGUAGACAAAAGAAAAGUGGCCAAGUUCGAACUGAAAAGCCAUCACUAAUCUAAGACCAUGUGAUGAUACCCAGAAUCCAGCCGAAGGUCCACUUAAUAUUGUAAUUGAAUGAGCCGAUAAUAUCGGCAAUCAAUCAUAUUAUCGCGAGAGAAGAAAAACAGGAGGCAGCAACUAAAGUUGAUUUUUGUGGGUGGUUUGAUAUUUUCAUUUUCUAAGAGAGGUUAGUGGUUCAAGUCUCACUCUCGUAUGGAGUCAUUAUUUUAAGCAGUACUUUACUCCUUACGAAUCGAUCCGAUACAAACAUUGAUUAAUUUAAAUUAUGAUAUAAAUUUAAAAAUAUCUUUAACAAUUAUAGCCUAUUUAAGACCACCUCGUGAUUAAAAAAAAAAAACAGGAGGCAGCCUUAGUAGCAAGUAUCUUUUACUCUUUUAAUUUUCAAAAUGUUUAAUUUAAUAAAGAAGAAAAAUGAGAUGGAUGGCAUUAUUAUCAAAGUACGCGCGCGGCGAGAGGAUGGACGUGGAUGGGUCGUUUUCUGGUACACGGGGGCUGUUUCUCACUAAAACGGAGGUAAAGUAAAGCAAAGAAAUGGGAUGGAGUCCGAGUCAGUGUGUAAAUUGUAAUUUGUGUUACACAAGGGAAACAUCGAAGUUGUGUCUUGUCAGUCUUGGCGUGCAUUUACAUUGUCUUUGUUAUCGUGGGGGCCUCAUGUCAUGCUCUUGCUCGUGCAUGCUUUUCUAAUUCCCUUCUCAUCAUCUUAUUCUUUGUCUCUUGGACAUGAUAAAGCAACAACCCUCCUUUACUCUUUAAUAACUUUCUUUCCUGUGGUUAAAUCUUAUAAUUAUUAUUAAGUUUUGCAAAAUCAAUUAAAAGUAAAGAGAGAGAGAGAGAGAGAGAGAGAGAGAGGCGGUGCUCGUGCUGAUUCAAAGGAAAGAGAGGGAGGAGAGGGAACAUUCUGGGUUCUGGCUUUAUGUGUAAGCAGUGGUGCCUGUCAAAAGAUGAGGAAAGGAUAAAUCUUUUUGAAGGGUGGAGAGGGGGUCUAUCUUUUGGGGUUUCUCUUUGUUGGGUGGGUUAUUUUGUGUUAUGUGGGGUUCUUUCUUUUGUGUUUUCUUCUGCUGAGAUGGGACUGUUAAUCCUCAUACUCUGAGCGUCAACAUUGUCAUUUGUCAUACGGAUGUUUGAUUCUUUGUACUUGACAAUUCGCUCAUUUUAAAGAGAAUCGCGCUUGCUAGAUUUCUUCUGAAACCAUUUCAAGGUAAGCUAACACUGAGCCCAUCAUAUAUAUUAGAUACUAUUGAAUUUGUCAUCUGGGACUGGGACUGACCCUGGCUUUGUCAUUCUUUCGUUUGAGGAGGGUACUUUUCCUUUCCUCUGACUCCUCGUUUUUGCAAUUUGUGGUUUGAUUAUUCUGUGUCUGCAUGAGUAUAGCUGAUCUUAGUUAUUUAUGUGAGAGCGAGACCAUUAAUUUUCUGUAGUUAGGUAUGUUUAAAAUCUAACAUGUUGUGGGAAAUGACACGGAGAGAUUUUUUUUGGGUUGUGUUUUCAAGCCGAGCAGGAGUUCUAGCUUGUUGGCCGAUUCUUAGUUCUUUAUUUGGUCAAAAAGAACAGGGUUUUUUAAUUCAUUUUUCCGUGUUAGAAUCCGCAAAUGUUAUCCGUUUUUCAGCACUUUCUUGAAACAACUUUGUUGGUAUUGAUAAUUGAUGUUCACUUGUGUUACCAUCUUUUCAGAAAUCUCCAAAAUUAGUGCUAAUUGUCAACCGUUUUGGUAGUUUCUUCAACUCAUAUCGAGAUACGCUGUUUCUUUGUUGCAGGUUGUGUUGUAGUUUCAAAGAAUUAAAAGAGCAAAGGUGAGACUAUGAUUUUGUAUUGUAAGGGACUGUAUCAUGAUUUUGUAUUGUAAGGGAAUGUAUCUGAGUUUUGGGUUUUGAACUUUGUGGACCAAAAAAAGGCAUUGGUGCUGGUAUGAUCCUUUGAAAAAAGAAAACAAAGGAAGAAUAGUUAAAAAAUUAUGUUAAGGGCGGUGGUGUCAGUUUUGAGCUAGUGGGGGUGUCUCUGGUUUUGAGAAUUAUAUAUGUUUUGAGAGUCUUUAGGCAUUGUCUCCUUAACACUCUUUAUUUGUCCGGGGUCCUUGGCCUCUGUUGCCAACUGAGGAAGCAAACACUUCUUUGAGUCUCUUCACAUUCAAGUGAACAUUUUAUUGAUAUAUUACACUUUUACCACUUUCUCUUUCUUUCUUUGGCCUUGGUUUGUGGGAAAGAUUCGGUCAUACUAAGUAAUUCACCAGAUUUUGCUUUGAUCCAUUUUAUUAUUAUUCUAACGCCAGAGAAUUCUUAAAAUUCUGUGGUUAGAUUCCCACUUCUGUGGUUUUACUUUAAGUCUUACUGGCAAUUUGGUUCUGAUUGUCGGUCCAGGAAUUUGAAGAUUGGAAUCUUUGGACAGAAAACUGAGGAACUGAUCUUUCAUUUGGCAAAAUGAAGUUUAUGAAACUUGGAUCCAAGCCUGAUUCAUUUCAGACUGAGGGGAACAAUAUCAGGUAAAUCUUUUUGAUCUCUGAUUCUAUCGAGAGCUACUAAUUUUACUUUUCUGUUUUGCUAAUUUAUUUUACUUGGUAACUGGGAAAAUUCCCAGUUGGUUUUGUGUUGUUGGAGGAUGUUUGUUGGGUUUUUUAGUUCUGAUAAUUGAUCAAGCUUCAAAUGGCUAAGCCUUCUCUGAGAAAAUCUGAAAAGUUAGGAAUGAGAGAGUCUGUGUAGAAUCAUUGCAAGCAUUAUGCCAUUGGUUUAGUAGAUAAAGAUGUUGUCUUCCUUGUGCCUUCAAGUAUGUAGAGAAGGAAAUAGACACCGCACUAAGAAAAUUUUUAGCUUGAGACUUGUUCAAGUCAUUUAUCUAUGGAAUCAAAAGAAAUCUGGCAAAUUUUUUGUUAUUGUUAAUAUGACAAUAGUGACAGGACUGACUCACUACAUUUUCAAGCUACCUUUUCAAGCCUGGAUUUUCAUAGUACAAUGACUAUAUAGAUAAUAAAAAGUAAAGCAGCAUAAGCUCACUUUCAUUUUUUCCUUCAUUAGAAUUAAGUAGUGUUCUCCGGAGAAUAAUAGACAUGUAGAUGCAUAAAACAGCUAUUUUAGCGUGCAAUCCUCUGUGAGUUUUUGCAAUCUGCUGUAUUCCUAGAAGUUAAAAGGGUUGAGAUGUUAGCUUCCAUAUAGUUUGUCAAAUGGAUGUCAAUUAAUUAUUCACCUUGUGUUAAUCUUCUUAUUAUCCAAUAACAAAGUUAAGCUACAAUAACAACAAGAUGCUUUGCAAAGCAAAUCUAUUAUUUUUACCAGCAAAGAUCUCUAUCACUAGAAAGAAAUUUUAGUUUCUAGGACUUGUUAAAUUCAAACAGAAAGUACACAUGAAAAAAUCUCCAACAAAUGCACAUUUUUAUCUUAUUUACUUUCUUCCUACUUGGUAGACUUUACUUGUGCUCACUGUAAUGCUUUUUCCAUGAGGUCAGAGAUUCUUGGAUAUUGCUUGAAAGUUAAAUGCAUUGGCUUUAGUUUUAUUUAAUUUCAAUUUAGCUGUAUGCCUGUAUUCUAUGGAACGUGGACUGCACUUUUUGCACCAUCUGCCACAUGUGGGUAUUUUUUUCCCACAUGUUUGGAGAGAGCUUCUUAAAAGAUAUAGUUGUGCUUUCAUCUUUGUGAGUUAACUUUAUUGUUAAUAUAACCUGACCAACAUCUUUGUGUACAGAUAUGUGGCAACUGAGUUGGCAACAGAUAUAGUUUUUAAUGUUGGGGACGUGAAAUUUUAUCUGCAUAAGGUAUGAAUUACAUAUGAUAAGGUAGUUCCUUGAUUACAACUUACCAUUCACAUUUAUGAGAUACCAGUUUUAAAAAAAAAAAUUAGUUCUUCAACUUAACAAUUUAGUACAUGUAUCUAGAAAAGCACAAAUAGGAUCUGUCUUUCCUCCUUUUCCCAAAAUCUCGCCCCAUUCUGGCAUGAUUAGCACGUUCUCUUUUUUUGAAUCUUAUGGAUUAUUAGGAAUUGAGACUAGAAUUUGAUUCACUUGGGCGAAAUUGUCUAGAUCCUAAUUUUCUCUUCUCACUGGUCUGUGGAGUCCAUGGACAACCAAUUGCAGGUCUAAGUUUCUAACCAUUUGAUUUGUGCCUGUUAAUAGUCCUAUUUACUUUACCAGUCAGAGUGGCCUGAGUUUUAGAAACACUAAUUUAAUCUUACUUGUAUUGGCAUACACUUGUGUGUUAGUUGCUUGUUGGGUAUUUAGUAAUAUCUACAAUAUUUGUGCAGUUCCCCCUUCUAUCCAAGAGUGCACGCCUUCAGAAGUUGGUUGCAGCCACAAAUGAUGAUAACAGUGAUGAAAUGCUCAUCCAGGAUAUUCCUGGUGGACCUGCUGCUUUUGAAAUAUGUGCUAAGUUCUGCUAUGGCAUGACAGUCACUCUUAAUGCAUACAAUGUGGUUGCUGCUCGAUGUGCAGCAGAAUAUCUGGAGAUGUAUGAAACAGUAGAAAAAGGAAACCUAAUUUAUAAAAUUGAAGUCUUCCUCAACACUAGCAUCUUCCGUAGCUGGAAAGACUCAAUCAUUGUUCUUCAAACUACGAGGUCUCUUCUGCCAUGGUCUGAGGAACUUAAGGUGGUCAGCCACUGUCUUGAUUCCAUAGCUACAAAGGCCUCAAUUGAUACUUCCAAGGUGGAGUGGUCAUACACCUAUAACAGAAGAAAGCUCCCGUCGGAAAAUGGAAAUGAUCCACACUGGAAUGGUAUGAGGAAACCCCAAUCAGUUCCAAAGGACUGGUGGGUAGAAGAUCUUUGUGAACUUCAUAUUGAUUUAUAUAAGAGGGUUAUAUCAACAAUCAAAACAAAAGAACGAGUCUCUGCUGAUGUAAUUGGAGAAGCCUUGAAUGCAUACGCCCUCCAAAGGUUGCCAGGAUUUGGCAAGGGAAUGAUCCAGAAUGGUGAUGUAACUAAGUAUAGAUCAUUGGUGGAGACCAUAAUGUGGCUGCUACCUACAGAGAAAGGUAGUGUUCCCUGUGGUUUCUUGCUUAAGUUGUUAAGGGCAGCAAUUAUGUUGGAAUGUGGAGAAACGGAAAGGACAGAGUUGAUGAGGAAAAUUGGUCAGCAGCUAGAGGAGGCUACAGCGGCUGAUCUUCUGAUUCGAGCUCCAUCUGGAGACACAACUGUGUAUGAUGUUGAUACAGUGCAAAGCCUCGUUGAAGAGUUUCUGGCAUAUGAACAGAAUGCUUACAGUGAUCUUUCCCUGGAAAAUGAAUUCCAGAAGAUUAGAAGCCCCCGAAUGACUUCAGAUGCUUCCAAAGUGAAGGUUGCAAAGGUGGUUGAUUGCUACCUAGCUGAAAUUUCGAAGGAUCCCAACUUACCUCUUGCAAAGUUUGUUAAUCUUGCCGAAAUUGUAUCUAUUUUCCCAAGACAGUCUCAUGAUGGACUUUACCGUGCUAUCGACAUGUAUCUGAAGGUAAGUAGCAGGUUUUCUAGUGUCUGCAGAUAAAUUUAUAUUUUAUUUUUCCUCGUAUCUUCCACAUGCAUGACAAGUGUCUGCUGAUCAUUACACAGCUCGCUGCUACUGAUACAAAGUAUCAACUUUGUUACCGGAAUAUAUAAAGCUGUGAACUUAAAAUGCGAGUGCAGGGUGUAUGUGCAUGGAUUUAAUGAAGGCUAUUGGUUUUGAAUUAACUUCUCUAAUAUAUCUGAUACAGGAGCACCCUGGGAUCAGCAAAAGUGAGAGGAAGAGAAUAUGCAGGUUGAUGGACUGCAGGAAAUUAUCAGUAGAGGCCUGCAUGCACGCUGUGCAAAAUGAGAGACUUCCCUUGCGGGUGGUUGUUCAAGUCCUCUUUUUUGAGCAGAUACGAGCCACGGCAUCAGCUGCUGGCAACAGCACACCUGACCUACCAGGGUCCAUUAGGUCCUUACUCCCCGGUGGGUCUCAUGGAAGCUCAAGGUCGACUACAACGAACACCGAGGAGGACUGGGACUCAAUCCCGACAGCUGAUGAUAUCCAGGCUUUGAAAGGAGAGAUCGCUACCCUGAGGUUAGCAGGUGGUAACAGUGAUAAAAAUGGGAAUGAUGGUUGUAAAAUUGAUGCUGAGAAAGUCACUGCCGGUAAAAUGAAAGGCAUUCUCAUGUCAAAAAUAUUUUCAAAGCUCCGGUCAAGCAAAGACAAAUAUGGUGAAAUCAGCAGCUCCGAUACAUCAGAGAGCCCAAGUCCUGGUUCUACAACCGCAGAGGAAACCAAGUCUACCCCAUCUAGAAGUAGGAGGCACUCAGUAUCUUAGUCAUUGGCAUGCUCAGUAGAAUCAGCGCACGCCUUGUUUGGCCUGUAUAAUUGUAUCACUUAUUUGACCAUUAGGAUAUUAGAAACCACUGACUUUAUCCUGGGAUAUUUUGAGCAACAGAAUCAUGUUGAAGGGUUGUGGUUGUGGGGAAAAUGAAUUUCUUUUGGAUGUCAACUUUUACUUUGGCCCCUCAAGAGAUUAGAGGUUCUGGAAAAGUACUGAUUGUUGAUCUUUCUUGUGUUAGAGAUAGGCUGUGACGGUGAACCAGUUUUGCUGUACUAUGAACAAGACGGAAUCCCAAGUUUCUGCUUGCUUUUCUUUUCUUUGGUUGCCUUUUUACAUCGUUUUAAAAAGCUUAUGGCUUUGCAGCCACGCUUGCUUCCACUGCAAGGCCACUCUAGGAUCUAGGAAUGCCCUCUUGAUGGAGAGUGGAUUAUUCCAAUGAGAAUAUGGAAUAACAGAAUAAGCCUGGGCCGGCGAAAGACUGUGCAUUAGCCCAUAAAUGGGGCCCAAUUUGGGAGAAUAUAGGCCUAAACCGAGGAGCUGCCUGCAUCAAGAACCCAACUCUUCUAGGGCAGAUAAUCUCUUCGCAAAUGUGGAAAGAGCAUAUGCAUCCUUGAAUAUUAAGUACAAAUAUUUAUAGACUUCUAAUUAUAAUGUCAAAAAUUAAAAAAAAAAAAGGUCACCUGCAAUUAAUUAAGUGGGAAUUUUUUUUCUUUAAUCUUGUUAAAAAAAUUAAGACAUUACAACUUAUCCAACAUUCAGUCUUUUUUAUUAAAUCACGCUAAUUUUUCCUUUUCUUAUUGUUGAUUAUUCAAUUGCUCUUGUCAACUCUAAUUUGAAAAGAUAUCUCACUAUUUACUAAUGGAAAUAUCAACAGCGGCAGAAGCAUCUGCAUGUAAAGGUCGUUUUGACAAUGCUAUCUUCCUAAUUUCUUGCAUUCUGGGACCUAAUUUCCCCACUCUAAGGUCUAGAUUUGAUGACUUUUUGACUUGAAAAUCGAAAGCCCAUGAGCAACCCAAUCUACAUCCAUGGCCAACUAUUUUUAAUUUCGAGCCCGUUCUCACCUAAAAGAACCAUACAUAUCAUUUGGACUGGGCAAAAAGUACAUGCACUCAGUCAACCCACAUUUAUGGAAUCACAUGAGCCAAAAAUGCUGAUUCAAGUUCAAAAGAUGCCCUUCCAAGUAUUUGCCUUGCUAUGAUCCCGCGACACCCACCACCAAAAAAGGGAAAAAAAAAAUGACAACCCACUUUAGCUCUUCAGCCAUUGACUUCAAUGGAAGACUUGAACCAAAAAGAUAAUAAAGCAAAGUCGACGAAAAAUUUACUUGCCGAUGUUGUUAAUGUCUCCUCCACCGCCCUCAUACCUAAACCACCUCCAAAUUUUUUAGUGAACUAUAAAAGGGCAUUGGCCAAAGUGACCGACCAUUGAAGAUUUUUAUUGGGCUUUUCAAUCGAACCUAUUUUCAUUGGAACAACUUUACUUGAAGAAAUUGGCAUUGUUGGAUUGGAGAGCGGGCUUUCAUACGUAUAUGAUAAGUUAAUUAAUUAUAAUUAGGCUUAUAACUUUGCAUUAAUGAAAACAACCUCUAGUCAAAACUUGCCGAACACUUCCUCGUCUACUUGCCUAAUUUGAACUUUAAUGAAUGGCGUGCAAGUCAUAGAAUAAUGAAAGCUUUUUCUCCUGUAAUCUGCCUUCUUUAGUCUGUGUGAAUGGAUAAAUUUAUGUUUAGUAUUAUCAAAAAGUUUCAAGGUGGGUAUGAUUAAUAUAUGAAACAAACGGUUCUGGCUAUAUUGAAACCACUCAACAAUAGAAUAUUCUUUUAUAACCACACAUUUGAAGUUAUAGUGUAUUUUUUAUUAUUUAUUACUUUGUGCUUGUGGCUAUAAUUCACGUUAUAUCUUAGAGCAACUCCAAAAUAGUAAUGGGCCCAAACAAAAAUAUCAAAGAAAUGUAUUAAAUUUUAACUUUGUUAUCUAAUUCGUCCAUUUAAAUUAUUUAAAAUUGAGCUAAUUUAAUGAUAUCGACGUCUUUUCAGUAAUGUGUAUAUGUGUAUCUAUAUAUUAUUACUGAAAAGGCAUCCAUAUCAUUAAAUUUGUAGUCAUUGUGGCACUCUUUUUUAUAAAGGAAAUUAUCAGCCAUGUACCCUUAAACGACACCAGUAUCAAACGUGUUACAACACUUUUCGCUUAUAUUACUCGUAUACCCUAAGUUGACAAAAGAGUUAUGGCGUCCACCUUUUCGUUUACUACCGUUAAGAACUUAACAGAAUUUGAGCAAAAUGACUAUUUUACCCUUUAAACUCAAAAUAAGGUAAAAAGACAAAUUUUCUUUGAAAAUUAAUGUAAAUUUUCAAUACACAAUUUUUUUUAUUUUGUUAUAAACAAUACCCUUUUUUAUUAAAAAAAUAUGAAUUAUUAAUGGUACAUAUUAUUAACAAUUAUCCAUAAAAAAUAUUCAUCUUAUACCAUAAAAAAUUAUUAACAACAUAUUAUUUACAAUUAUACAUAUUAUACCAUAAAAAAUUCAAGUUGGAGUUUGGAGGAGUAGAUCUUCAAUAAUUUAGGUUAAAUUUUGGAGGAGUAGAUUCGGUUGUAAAGUAGCUUUUUUUUUAGCAAUUAUUAACAAUUAUCCGAUAAAUAGGAUGACAUGUCAUUUUUAUCAAAAUAUAUCAUAUGACAUGUCGUUUUUUACUAGGUAAAUGGGAUGACAUGUUUUUUUUUUAAAUACUAGAUUACCCUUAUGAUGUCAGCGCUCGCAAACGGCAGUUAGCGGAUUAGUGGACGACAAAAGUAUUUUGUCAACUUAGGGUAUACGAGUGAUACACUUGAAAAUUAUUGUAGCACGUUUGAUACUGGUGUCAUUUAAGGGUAUAUGACUGAUAAUUUUCCUUUUUAUAAAGGUAGUCAAGGUGGCACUUGCUCCUGAAUGACUCAAGCUUUUCUGUUUGUUCCAUCUUGCAAUUUGGUGCAUUUGCAUAUACACUCCAUGAGAAAAACUUUGAAAGCAAG
This 80607-nucleotide long non-coding RNA is filed under the name Citrus sinensis (sweet orange). Its description in RNAcentral is "long non-coding RNA (CSIN_LNC000401)". Lineage: Eukaryota; Viridiplantae; Streptophyta; Magnoliopsida; Sapindales; Rutaceae. The record is from RNAcentral.